Molecule: long non-coding RNA, 51198 nt
Filed under: Sorghum bicolor (sorghum)
Lineage: Eukaryota; Viridiplantae; Streptophyta; Magnoliopsida; Poales; Poaceae
Description: long non-coding RNA (SBIC_LNC008365)
Source: RNAcentral
AAAUAGCUUGUUUAGUUAAUCAGGUUCAUACUAUCUUGAAAAGAAAAUAAAAAUGUUAAAAAUAAGUAAGCCCCAUGUGAGUAUGCUCAUGGCAUAAAACCCGUAAGUACAUUCACUGUGGUGGCAUAAAAAUAAAAAUAUUUUUCUGUUCCAUAAAAAUGAAAAUAUAAAAAAUAAGACUGUGAUCCUACCAAAGAGAGUAACAUUUAUUGAGGAGGCUCAACAUGAUAAAGGCGAGAUAUUUAUGCUAACACUUAACUAGUUCCACAAAGCUUUGUUGUCUAUUUGCGCUCCACAGAAUUCAAGGAUCAAGAAGACUAGCAGACGGAGGACAUCCUAAUCGUUGUCAGGGUGCUGCCAACAUUCAAAUACACCUCUGCCACCUGCUAGCUACACGAGAAGAGAUUACGUCAAAAUCUAGCUUGGGGGAGAGCACCCCCAUUUAUCUAGCUAAGUGUUUCUAUCUACGUUUAUACUUAUACUUUGUUAAAAUAAUAAAAAGAUACAUAAUCAUAAAAACCAAAAUAAAGAUUUUGUGCUUAUAGAUAUAUAUAUACUUUUGCUUAGUUUGCUAAAUAAAUAAAUAAAGUGGCUAUACUAAACUGAAUCUUAAUAAUAAACUCUAGCAUGGAUAUGAUGAAUAGUUGCUCUGUCCAAUUUUUAAUUUGAACCUCUCUCUCUCUCCAGUUACAUAACUGUUAUAAUUUAAAGCUUGUUCUAAACCUGAACUUGUCGGAAGAGAACUUGAUCUAAAGUCUAAGUCGUUAACGGAUAUGAUAUGGGAAGGUUGAGCUGUUGUUUAUCUGUUCUUAGAGAUGCUAGAAUUAUGGAGAAUUUUAUCUUUGAAAAUCUUUAAAAUAUUGCAUGAUGAGUUAUUGUAUGACAAGAGUUUAAAUUCCUACAACAGCCAUAUAUACAUGCUUAUUAAACUAAAAACCAUACAUUUACUUUUUGCUGCCUAUGAGCAUUGAGUGUGGUCAAGCUGUGUAGACCCUUAGGAGCUUGUCAUGCGGUUAAAAUCAAGAUUCACUUGCACGUUCACUCAUACAUGUUGCUUCUACUCCGGAAGUAUGCAUCCACAUACAUCCACUCAUUUCUAUCUCCAGAUUCACCCAAAAUUAUUCUACUCCUAUCUAGGAGAGAAUAGCCAAAAAUAUUAUCCUAUCCCUGUUAUUCCCUGUGAAAUAAAUGCUUGAGAUAUUUAGGUUACUACCACUUGCUACAUUAUUCUAGGAGGGUGAGUGCUCUGAAAAAAAGAGUGAAUACAAGGAAAUAAAAAGGGGGCAAGUGUCCGGAACCUCGAAGAAAAGAAAAAGUAAGACGAGAGGUAAAAAUGGACAAGUGUCCGACGGUAGAAUUAGGGGUACAAGAUACCCACCUGAGAGAAAAAGAAAAAGAAAAUAUAGAGCAUCUCAUUCUCCUCAAAAAGCUUCAAAGUGCAAGAAAGGUAUGUAUCCCCUCAAAAGAGCAAAAGUAGAAUUAGACUUUCACCAUUGUUUUCACCAUCAUCACCAUACACCAUUCAUUCGCCACACAUGCACAUCUUGAUAUUGACUUAAUGACUUGUUUAUCUGGAUCCAUGGUUUGACUAUGCAAUAAAUAUCUUGUAAGUAUGUAUACUUUAUCUCCCACCUAUGAGCUCCAGAUAUCAAAGCCUUAUUAGAGUAGGAUGAGAGAGAAGGCAAUGUCACUCUGCUUCGUACCACAAAUACUACAUACUUUGAGAGAAGGCAUACAACAUCACUGCCUUGGUAAGGAUCUAGAGAUACCACAACAGAGAGAAUUGAGAGAGUCAUACAAGGAAUCUCUGAGUUUUAUUUUGAAAAUCUGCAAAAACACCAGAGCUAUAGUUGAUCAAAGAACAAGAGACAUGGUGCUUGAUUUGACCAUUCUAUCUUUUAACUGCUCAAGACAUAAGUGUCAGUUGCAAGCCCCAUGGUGGAAGGUAAAAUGAGUAAGUUUUAUGUCUUAACAGUUUACUCUAACUCAGAGAUAAGACCGUGUUUGAAAUCAUGUGUACCGUCAACUUUCUAAGGCAUUGCAGCAACUUCUGAUCCAUCACUAAGUCUAUCCUUGCUCAGGGACGAGCAAGAGGUAAGCUUGGGGGAGUUUGUUGACGGUCUUUAAGUACCAAAUUUAAUCAUAAAAUAAAUAAAGAAAAGGAUCCAAAUGCAACCAACACCCAGACUUAUGGUUUUAUCUCACAAAAUUCCACGAGUUUUGGUGUUUGUCUAUUUCUACAGGGGGUUAUCAGGAAAUAUGGAGGAAAGGCCCAUAUGUCGGGUUUACAUAGAGAUAUUAACGUGUGCGGCAAUUUUCUAUCAUCUAGAAGACUCCAAAAGCUGUGGGAACAAAUGGGAGGCUGAGCGGGCCCUGGGGCAGGGUGCCCGCCCUCCCCCCUAGGGCGCCCGCCCUAUUGUCUCAGCCAAUCAGGCCCCGCCUCAUGGAUUAUGCUACGCCGACCUAAGGGAUUAAGAAAAACCAUGCGAUUAUGGUCGGUUUGAUCCGACAGCCCAUGUUCAUUUGGAAGCGCUAUAUAAGCAGGCCCCCUGGCCCCUGGAGGAGGCAUUCUCAUUCUCAAACCCGAAUUCAUUCAUCCAUCCAUCCGAGUCUCUGAUCAAGCCCUAGAGCCACCACAUCAACUAGAUCUCUUUAAGUCUUGUGAGUCCAACAGAAAUAAAAGGAUGAAUAAUAAUUUAAAAUCAACAACAAAAUACUUAUCUAUAUAUUAAGGUGUGAUCAUAGAGUGUUACUACAGUCAGUCUAGUUUAGAGUCAAAUAAAAAUUAUAGAAUAUUAAAAUUUUGUCUUAGAAAUGAUGAAUAGUUGCUCUAUAGUAAUUCCUUUCAAGUGCUUAGUUUUCAACCAUGAAUUCUCCUAAGUUUUAGACAUGAUCACUUUGAUAUAAGAAUUUACUCUGAACUUAAAAUUUGUGGAGGCAUAUGUUUAAGCUGAGUCUAGGUAACUGAUGUUAUACAUAAAGGUCUAAGUAGCUGUUUAUCUUAUUCCUAGCAUUACUCAGUAUUGGAGAUUUAUUUUGAAAACCCAAAAUCUUACAUGAUGAGCUCUUGUAUGAUAAAGUUUAAAUUCCUACCAAAGCCAUAUAUGAUACAUUUAGAGUUAGGAAAAUGUUUGCACAUUGAUGCUCCUUGCUUUACAUUGAGUUUAGUCAACCUUUGGAGUAUACCUUAUGAGAGUCGUAUCAUGCUUUAAAAAUCAAGAUCACUUACGCACUCCACCCACAUAUGCAUUACUCCUACUCUGGGAUGUAAGCGCAGUCAUUUCACUUUCAUUCAUAUCCACCUUAAAAAGAUGUUUUCUCCUACACUAGGAGUGAACACCCAAAAAUAUACCCUAUAUGACAGCCCCCAUUUAAUUGCUCUAAGUUUUUGUCAUUAUCUCUCAAAUUAUUUAUAUUGAAAGGAUGCAUGUGGCUAUGCAAAAGUAUUUUUUUAAAAAAAAAAAGAAGAGAAGAAAAGUGGGAGUAAAAGAUGGACAAGUGUCCCAACAAUUAAAACAAUGGGUACAUGGAUGCCCGCCUCCCGCAGUAAUGAAAAAAAGGAGAGUGACAAAGAGAGAAUAAAGAUAGCACAUGUUUUCCUAUGAAAAGUUCUAAGGAGGGAGUAAUUUUCAAAGAGCAAAAGUAUAAUUAGGAUUUGCCACUAAAUACUAUAUAUACACCUAUCCACCAUAUUCCAUACACAUGCACAUCUUGAUUUGAUUGUAUGCCUUGAUUCUUUAUGGAUCCAUUGUUUGACUUUACAAUAUAUGAAUUGCAAGUAUGCUCAUCCUUGUUAUUCCCACUCCUAUAAGCUCCACUAUAUAUAUCCUUAGUUGUAGGAAGGCACAACCUCAUUAAUGAAUCAGCAAGAUCCAUAAAUACUACAUAAUAAGAUACUUGAGGGUGUCAUACAAUCAUGCUCUGAGCUUUAUUUUGAAAACUUGCAAAACUCCAGAAUAUUGGUACAGUGAAAAAUUUGAGACAUAGUGCUUGACUUGAUUGUUCUAUCUUUUGAUUACUCAAGACUUAUGCAAAAGCUGUAAAGCUCCAUGGUUAGGUAAAAUGGGUAAGUUUGAAAGUUAGACCAGAGGACAAUUUAUGUUUAAAAGCAAGUGUACUUAAAAGAAAUGAAAGUAUUCUAGCAACUCCUGAUCCAACUUUAUUAAUUAGAUCUAGGUUGUUUUCCAAGGGACUGGCAAAAGGUAAGCUUGGGGGAAUUGUUGAUGGUCGAUAAUGUCAAAAUUUAUUAGAACUAUAGACACAAGGGAACACAUGAAAACAAAUUAGUAUAGGGUUUAAUCUAACAAUUUCCACGAGUUUUGCAUAUUCUGUAUUUUCUAGUGUUUAUUUCACAGAGAGCUGAAAAGAGGGAUUCUAGUGCAUAUUUGCAACAAAACUCAUCCGUGAUGGAAAACAUCACGAGAAGACCCAGGAAGGGUCUAGAAGACACCCGAAUGAAAGAGAGCCACGGAGGAGAAAAGGUGGGGCCAGCCGGCCCCACCCUAGGGCCGGUCGGUGUCCUAUUUUGCCCGAUGGCUGCCGCCUUCUGGAGACUUCCUCCUAUGCCUCCUUGGAAGCAAAGCAAAGUAUCCCUCCGUCGAUUUUAAGUUGGUUUGAUCCGAUGGUACACACAAGAUGAAUAUGCGGAUCGCUGACGUGGCGCUUCCUUGCCCCCUACUCCACAUUGGCCUAUAAAUGACGCCCAAGGCUCCCCCCAAGAGGCAUUCUACACCCAGUACUUCAUAUUCUCUACAUAAUUAGGGUUAGGGUCCCUCUAGUUCAUAUAGUUCUAGUUCAUCUAGUUCUAGUUCAUCUAGAUGUAGCAAUUAAAAGAGACUAGUUCUUCUAGAUCUAGUCUUGUUUAGAUAUUUGAGAGAUUUGAGUAGAGGAGUAGAGAUUCUGGAGGAGUUUUGGCAUAUUGGUGCUUCUUCAUGGCUGUAUUCUUCUGGAUCCAGUUCCCUCGCCCGGAGCUGCUUCUGAGGUACUUUUGUACUUACCAUUCUGAUUUAAGUAAGCAACUUGUUCUUAUUCAUUCUUUGGUUCACAACUCAUAUUGAGUGCUUUGAUCGGUCAUUACUUGGUUGAAGUAGUAUUUCGUAGUGUAGGUGUGGUAGUUCGCAUAGUAUUACUUGGUUGAAGUAGUAUUACUUGUGGAUGUCCUCUGAUUUGCCAAACUGUGGUAGUUCGCAUAGGUGACUUUAUAGCUGUGUUGAUUCCUCUGUAGUCCACAUCCUAUUGAUAGGACCGAUAGGCUUAUAGGUGCCUGGUAGGAGAUUACUCUGUUUCUUCUCCUAUUCGGGUUACUUGCCCAAUAAGACGAUACUAUACAAAGUUUACUGGAGUCAGAACCUUAGUGCAUUAGCUAUUUCCUUUUUCUUGAUAUCAUCUAGCCUAAUUGUAGGGUUAAUUCUAUAUACUUUGUCAUCACCACAACUGUUCCCUGUGGAUACGAUAUUUAAAACCUCAGGGUAAAAUGUGACACUGGUAUGAUAUUUGUGCUCUUGCGGAUAAUCCUACUUAAAACUUAUUUAAUGGAGUGUACUUAAUUUAUACCAACAAGCAUUUUUGGCGCCGUUGCCGAGGAUAGGUUUUAUCUCUAUUUUUAGCAAUGACAUUAGAAGUGUCAACACCCCGCCACGGGUGCCCUAGGCUAAGACGAGCCAGCUUCAAAGGCCCUAUUGCGAGACUUAGACGCACUAUAGUUGUUGUUGUUCUCUUGAGUCAAGGAGUCACUGAUGUAGGUGUUGGAAGUGGUCAGGGUUCCAGUUCCCAUUGUCUUCAGCAUCUUAGGGCUCAAACCCCCCCCUAGAAACUAGUGAUCUUCUUAGCUUCAGUGUUCACGCACUCUAGAGCGUAACGAGCAAGAUUGUUGAAAGCAUGCAAGUAUUCCUUCACGAUCUUUGUAACCUGGCACAACUUCAUGAACUCAGAGACCUUCAUUUCCACCAAGCCUGGUGGGAUGUAGUUUCCUCAGAAAGCAGUGGUGCAGCGAUUCCACGUGAUAGAGGUUCCCUCGGGAUAGGUGGUGCGAUGGUGAGACAACCAAAUCCCAACGGCCCUUGCAGUUGAUGUGCUGCAUAUUCCACCUUUAGUUCUUCUAUCAUCCUAACCAGACUGAAUUUCUGCUCCAUCGUAUUGAUCCAUUCAUCUACCUGCAACGGCUCUACAACUUCCUUAAAUUUUGGUGUCCAUGAAGUCUUUAAAAGAGUAGUACUGACUAACUUCAUGACCACCUAGGUUAGCCCCACGGCGGGUAUUGUCGGCGAUGUUGCAUAGAGCAGCUUCCAUGUUUUGCUGCAUAUGCUCCAUGUUGUGUUGACUAAUGAGAAACUGCACAAAGAACGUCUUUGCAGUGUAUGGAGGAGGAGGAGGUGGUGGCACUUCCCGGUUCUCAUUCUUGCGGUUAUGCCCUCCGCCUCCUGACGAUCCUUCUCCUACCACUCGGUUGCGAUUACCAUGGGUUUCCACCAUCUGCAUGCGUCAUUGGUAAGCAAUCAUUAGGAGUCACCACACCACAACCUUUAAAUAGCUAUGGACAAUCCGUUGCUGAAAGGGGUGUACAAUGAUGGACAGUCCGUUGCUAAAGGCUAUAGCAACGGAUCUCUGCCGUUGCUAAUGUAGCCGUUGUUGUAUGUAUACAACAACGGACAAUACAUUUAGCAACGGACAAUUCAACAGUCCAAAGUUUAGCAACGGACAGCCUGUUAGAGCUUUCAGCAACAGAAAUUCAUUGCAAUAGAAACUUUCAGCAACGGACAGUCUAUCGAUCUCAAUUACAUAGUAAAAAAAUACUACAUGUAUUUAAAACUGGAUUAAACAUUCAGAACUAAUACAAUAUUGAAUUGCACACACAGGUGGGUACAUUAAUCAUACUCUCAUCCAUCUAUAUCAAAUGAGAACAUAUAAUCCUUGUCUCGACAUAUCUCAUGAACAAAAACAAACUAGCACUCGCUAUCUAUGGAAGCCACCAAAAAUUAGGUAAACGCUCAAAAUACACAACCAUCCUCUAGUGUGAAAUGAAAUCACUAAACUGUACCAUACCGAAGUGUUCAACAUCUUCUGAAAUGUGCAACUAUCGAAGCUAAGGACCCACUACAUGGAUAGGAAGAGCACCUGCACAACCAAAAUAGAUAGAAACUGAAUGAGAAAGUACUAAAAGUUUUAUGCUUUUGUACACAAGUCUUACUUUUAUAGUUUUGUACACAUGUAUAGCACUAAAAUAUAUGCAAACUAGCAGGAACCCCAAUAGUGAAGAAUAAGCACCAAGUAACAAAUGGGACAAAUAAAUGCAUGUACAAAAUGAAACUAAGUUCAUAGUUUAAGAUUCAAUAGCAAGUAUAGAAGUAGGGAAAAUAUUCACAGGAAUAGCCGACAAUCUAUCAUAGCUAUUUCCUAUAAAAACAAUGUACCACAACUUACAACAUGGAAGUCGUGCCCAUUAUAGUACUAUCCUAGUUUUUGCAUUGUAUAGGUAUAACUUAGCUUUUUAUAUACAUUUCUAGAUGCAAGAUUGACAGAAGCAGCAAUGCUGCUAAGAACUAUGAAGGUUCACCACUGUAUCAUACUCACUUUGCAGCUCCACCCAAAGAUACCAACAUUAUAAUUGAUAAUACAUGAAAAAAUUAGCAAUGGUAAUGGCAACUUCAUGAGGCAUAGUCAAGCAAUCACCAUUUUCUGUUGCCAAUAUUUUCUAACCAAUACUGUGUUAUUAUAGAUAACUGAAAGCCUUAGUUCAGAACUGAGAGCAUCAGACAAAGCUGGUUUGGGUUUUAGUGUUAGAUGUAUUGUCUUUGCUACUUGCUUCAUAUCUGAAAGUACAUCUGACUAUAGUUACACUACUAUCUUUACUACUGGCAUCUUAAUCUAAGUAUGGUAUAUGAUGAGAUGAUGUAGCCAGUGUUUUUUGAGUUCCAUAUUGUUUUCCUCGAACAAGAAGCCUAUAACAAAUCAUUUUCUAAGAAUCUGAUACUAACAUGUUAUUCCCUAAACUGGAAAUGGUUUAGUGCUCCUUAUCUAAUAAUUCCUGCAUUUCUCAGUGUUAAUAGAUGUUUUACUAUUUAAACUGUAAAAAUCUCUAAACGGUACUUAGCAUGAUAUUUCUAUGAUAUACUAGUUGAAGCAACAUUACAUAGGCCAAUAUACCUAUGAUAUAUAGUUAAUCCCAUCGAUGAAGUUAAUGCCUAGAAGCUGAAACGUGAGAACACAAAGGUUCAGACAAGGAAUCUGGAAUGGACGCUGAAACGUGAUGCAUUAUAUUAUCUAUAAUAAGCUGAACAUCAUAACACAAAGGUUCAGACAAGAAAUUUGGCAAGGAAAACUGAAACAUGGAGUUUGGUGUAUACUGCCUUUUCAUGUCACUAACUACAAACUGCCAGCACAUCAAUAUGGCAUAAUGUCUGAUAAAGACAGGUGAAACCAAAAUUUACUGUUAAAGAAGAUUAACUGCAAGAUUAACUCACAUAAAUUUCAAGCCUACAACAUCAGCAGACCAGUACUGGAAUGCAUGUAUAGAUAAAAUCAAAUUAUAUGUAUCAUUGGCUACAUCUUUCUUACACAAGUGGCUACCAAUACUCAAAUUUUCUUCUUAUUGAUACAUUAAAUUAAUAACUUCAGGUCUAUUUUAGAUAAUAAAUUCAGGCUAUUUAAAAUAUGAGAUGUCGUCCAUAUCAGGAAAUGCGAGAUUUACACAACUACAUAUUAUAGGCAACCUUUCUUAGUGCUGAGUGCAAGGAAUCUCCACAAGCAGUUUUGUUCAGACAUUUGAAGCUUAUUGUAUUAUUAACUCAACCCUAAAAAAGAAAUAUGCAAAUGUUACCUUGCUUCCAUCCAGACUUUAUAAGAACACAGCAGAAUAGUAGAGGCACUUGACGGAAUAGCAAAGGCACUUUGGCAAAUUUCUUGUCGGUGUUUUGCCCCCGGGGGGUAACACCAACGAGUGAAUUUGUGUGCGUGCUCCCUCUUUCGGAUGGUGAUGCAAGAAUAACACAGCGAUUUAUACUGGAUCGGGCAAGAGAAGGCCGUACGUCCAGUGAGGGAGGGGAUUUUGUAUUAUCUUGCACCUAAGUGCUUGUACAGGGGUGAAUACAGACUGAUGUAGCCAAGGGUUCUAAGUUCUGGCCGAUGGUGGUGCGUGGAUCGUAUUCUACGGGUCGUCUGUCUUGAAUCUCGCCCUCGGUGUCCCCUUUUAUAUUUCCAAGGGGAGACCUAGGUUAUAGGGUGUAGGCAUUAGAAUAAGCCUCGAUAGGGGUAUGGUGCACUAACUCACUCGAGGCCUCCGUACCGGCGUGGCCUCGAGCCAUGUUGUUACAGCGUACUUUGAUGAUGAUGGCGCGUGCGCUUCUGGAUUCAGCCCCUGUACAUCAUCUUGGAUUUGCUCAGGCAUAAGCAUGCUUGUACAUUGUGGCAGUAGUCACGUCUAGGGUUGUUAAAGCGCUGACUUUCAUCGCCUGAUCCUUCCCAAAGAAGGGAUGUUUCUGCUCGAGGGUCAGGCGCACGAGCAGCUUUGCUGCGUGGGAACGCUGACUUCGGGUGCCUUGAGAGAUACCGUGAUGGGAUAUCACGUCUGCUAUACUGUGUCGAGUUGUACUUUUGCCCAUUUUGGGGGAUAAAACUGGAAAAAGUGGAGAUUUGACGGGUGCUUGUUCCCUAUCACGUUUCCUGUGAUUGUCGGGUUAGGUGGGAGCAUGGCAGACACAUUAAAUGCCCUGGCUUCCAUACCCGCGACAGGCGGUGGGAGGCGCUUUUGCGCUCGAGACCCAUCGAUGCACUCGAGCCACUUUUCGUACUGGACGGUCGCAGUUCAUCGAGCCUCUGUUGAUUCGCAGGACCUUGCUCCCGUGUUCGAGGCCACGGUCGACAUCGAGCUCUGGCGAUUAUAGGUUUAGGUCAGAUCGUCGAGUUAGAGUCUCGAUUUGCUCACGGAUCCCCCCGUUAUUGAUGUUGGUUGGGAUACCCCCUAUUGGUAUCAUUGACAGUAGCCCCCGAAUCUCUGCUUGAGUGCUUGUGCUCGAGUAGAGGCUCUUCCGUUGGUCGAAUUUUCAUGGGGGUCGCGCGAGUGACCCCUGUGGGGGUAGCCCCCGAGCAUUUUGAGGGGUCUUUGACUCCUUCGAGGGCUAUACUGCUUUUUCUGGUGGGACCACUCCCAAUCUCCCCUUUCUCCAAAAUGCGUUUGCUCUGGAAGGGGGCUUCCGACCCUUAUCGGCCGGCCUUACCCUUUUGAGGCUGGGAUCAUGACGUACUCCGGGUGGAGCGAGCGUCAUUGCCCAAGGUGAUUUCCUAUCGGGUGAUCCAAGCGAGAACCCUUGCCCCGUUCGAGGGGGUUGGCUGCAGCCUGGAGGCGUCCUCAUUAAAGCGGGGCUAGUGUGGUCGGGAUGCUGGUCUCGUUCGACAAAGUCCAACGGCUCGAUGCCUCCCUUCGUGGGGAUUCCUCUCGACAUUCUUGCCCCUGCCUUGGAUACUCCUAGCGAAUUUUCGAGGCAAGCCUCGUUUUCGACCCUUCGCUUGGUGUCCGUGACUCUGGUACUCGAGGGUGACCGUCGAACCAGUCUGGCGGGACGGUCUGUGCUCCCUCAAGAUUCUUAUGGCGGCGGGCGCGUGUCUUACCUUGCAAUGGAAGGAAGAGUCGUGGCGGUUCAUUUUCUUGCUCGUUGGGCGUGCCUUUUUAGGAGGGAGUCGUUGUGGCACUGUGCCGUUGCGGAAUCCGUAACGUCCUAUUAGGGGGAGAAAGAAGACCGUUAGGCGGCACAUUUACUAAGGAGGUUACCGCAUUUGUUGGAUCUGCCCGUUGGGGUUGGGCGUCUAUAAAUAUCACUGGGUCUCUUAGCUGCUGUCUCUUCCACAUUCGACCAUUGCUCUCGCCGUUGCACCCCAUUGCUAUCUCUUCUUUAAGCGAAGCACACCCUCGAGCCAAAAAGACCCAUAGAACCGCCUUUCUCCUUCCGCCAGGAUGCCUGUGAGACUCGUCGCCCCUGACGAUUGGCGUCCAUCGUCCAUGACAGAGCGCUGAUUGAGGGACCUGGAGAAGGAGGGGCUCCUGCGCUCCCAUACUUCCUCGUCACGGCCUGAAUGGAUCGCGCCGCCGGUGGACCACCGGGAGCCAAACCCACCAAAGGGUACGUUGUCACCUUUGCCAAGUUCCACCGUCAUGGCCUCGGUUCGCCCCCAAGCCACUUCAUGAGGGUGCUCUGCCACCACUACGGCGUGGAGCUUCAACACUUCUCUCUAAAAGCCAUCACCACUUCGGCGAUCUUUGCCGCGGUGUGUGAGGGCUACCUAGGUGUGAUGCCGCACUAGGACCUAUGGCUCCACCUCUACCGGGGUGAGCUCUUUCGUGCUCUUGGUGGAGCCACAAGGGUGAGGAAGCCAGUGCAGGCUGGGUGCCUCAACCUAGUGCAGAAGACAGGCCAAGCGGAUGAAACACGAGAGUACAUCCCGAUCGGGCUGACGUCGAGCCACGCCCAUUGGGACUCCCAAUGGUUCUACCUCCGCAACGACGACGACCUUUUCCCCGCCUAUACCGGGCGGUUGAUCUCGGAGCGUCCAGAGAACUGGAAUUAUGGCGUCGUCAAGACCCUCCAGUCCCGACUCUGCCCCCUCCUCGACGCCCUAAAGACGUUGCACGAGGAAGGUCUCACUGCCGCGCUUGUUCUCUCGGCGGUCGACCAUCGACGGGUACUCCCGUUGAUAUCUCGACCACUUAGGAUGGAUGAGAUGGACCCUAGUGUCUCGUCUCGGGACCUCGAUGCAUGUCUGAUGUCCAACGAGGCGCCCGCGGAUGAGAAAGUUGCCGCCAGGGUUAUGUAGCUGUCGCGGGCGACUUCUAGCCGGCGCAGGUCAAUGGCUUUCCCAUGAAGCUCGAGGAAGGCUGCCUCGAUCUGGUAAGUACAUGGAGCCAUCUCUAUUCACCUUCUAUUGUUUGGUUCUGUCAUUCUUCUCCCCGUCUUUCCUGCAUUUAUGCUUGACUUUUACAAGGGGACGAGCGACUUUCUGUCCUCAAAGCCUCCAGUGAAGGAGGAUAAUGUCGACCGUGCGAAAAGGCAUGCUUCCGCCGAGAAGUAGAAAUCCGUAAAGGAUGCGGAGAAGAAGAAGACAAAGAAGAAGAACCUCGAGCGACAAGCGCUCGAGGUACGUCGAGCCAAGUCGAGGCAUGGGGGGGAGUCUGAGGAGGACUCCCCUGACGAGGACGACGAGAGUGAUGACAGCGACGAUGGCGAGGAUUCUGAGGGGACGGCGGCUCGCCUCAACAGGAUCCUAGAAGACUUGCCACGAACCGACGUCGAUACAUCGCGUGCGGGGGCUUCCAAAGGGCCACUAGGUGGGCCCCGCGACGGGUGCCAAAAGGAGGCGUCGCCAUGCCGCUCGCAUGCCGACAACCCCCUGCGCCCGCGCAGGGUCGUGUCAUUCCUCAACCGCAACCCCUUCCAGUGUCCGGCCCGAGCCAUAGGGUCAAAACCUUGGCGACGGGGCCGUUCACUCGCGGCCGUGCUGCUGUGGUGACUUUGAGCCAAGGGGAAGGGCACCGUAUGAGUGCUAGUCUCGGCGUUCGUCAGGUGGGAAGCAUGGAACCGAGGCCCGUGCCUACCCAGGAGAAACCAGGGGUCACAACGAGGGGUGGCUCGAGACCUGCUGGUCGAGGUACCGCUAGGAGGGUCGUCCAUCCUAUAGGGUAAGGUCUACGUGUUUUGAUUUUGAUUUUGAUGUCUUGUUCGUCUGUCGGUUUCCACCUCUUUAAUCUACUUCUUCUUUGCUCAGGCUGAAGAGGCCAUUGGAGCAGGCCCAGCCCUCGAUGCCCAAGAGGCUCAAGGCGGGGGCAAGCUCCAAGGCCUCGGGUGAGUGACUCGUUCCUCUUUUCAUGGUUCUGGGGUUAGCUUGAUUUAGCGCUAAGUCUCCUUCUGACUGAUGUGUCGCUUUGGGGCGUAUGCAGGUUCUCCCGACCCUCGACCACCAGCUGGUGACGAUAAGACCCUGCCUCGACCGUUGGAGGGGGCGAUGGCUCCAGAAUCGUCCUGCUGUCCCCUAGACGGUCCCAUGGUCAGGAGAGAGCCCCCAAGCCGCCCUAGUCAGGGGGAGUGGGCGACCCCAUCACUAUCAGUGAUGAGUCUGGUGGUGGUCCGCACUCGACAGAAGCUCAUGCCACGGUCAAGGGGGUCGAGACCCCUUAGGUUGAGGGACGGACACCAUGGCCCAUCGGGCUUCACUCCGUCGAGGAGAAGAAGAAGGACGAGGAGGAGCGGAGGGAACAAGAAGAACUGCGUCGACCGCAGGGGCAGCUGCCGCUUCAGCAAAAGGCGCAGGCACAGCAGCAGCAGCAGGCGCAGGAGUAGCAGCAGCAUCAGCAGGAGGAGCGGCGGCAGUAGCAGUAGCAGGAGAAGGAGCAGCAGCAGGAGAAGCCACAGCAGGAGGCGUCGGAGCGUCCGCAGCAAGAGCGGGGGGCGCAAGUGCAUCUCGAGGAGCAACUGGAGUAGUGUCAGCAGCAAGAGCUACAGGAGCUUCAGCAGCAGCAGCUCGAGGGGCUGUUCGAGCAGCAACCGCAAGGUCUGCACGAGCCACGGUCGCCACUGCUGCAAGGGCCCAAGACCGGGGAAGGGGAGCUGCCGGUUUAUGGUCUCCCGACUCCCGUGUGGCUCCAUCCUGGGGGGCCUGUUACCAUCCCGGCCGAGCCACGACGGGAGGACGGUGUCAUGGCGCUAGCAUGCGCCAUGCGCACACCGGCGGAUCCCCAGUUCGAGAUCAAAGAUACAUCUCUGAUAUCGAGGGGAUCGCCCCAGGGUUCCUUCACGGCCAACGGCCGUGGGAAGAUCUCAGCGCCGGCGGGGGAGACGAGGCUAGGACCUUUGGCGGCGGCAACGCAGACGAGGCCGGGACUUGGAGGUCACUGGAUCAUGACGGGCAAUUUCCUUCCCUUGUCAAUUUGUUCCUACGCCACGGAGGCUCGCUCAAGAUAGUGCAAGAUCUCAUCCGAGGCGUUAAAGCAUGCACGGAGGAGGAGAUGGAACACUGGGGGCCGGGAGGAUCCGUCUUCGAGCCUCCACUUCUCUGGAUGAGCCCAAUAUCAUGAUGGAUGAUCAGAAGGAGACAGAGAAGUGGGAGCACCUAGAGGAGCUUUGUCUUUGGAUGAAGCAUGUCGUGGGCCAGGCUUUCUUUGUAAGUAGCUUUGGACUUUUGUUACUUGGGAGCUUUUGUUAGGCUUGCGUUCUUACUGCCUUGUGAUCUACUGCAGGAUUUGAAGGAGACCUCCCGCCUGAAAUCAGGCUUUUUUCACGCGACGAGGGGCGGUUGGGAGUAGCUCCCUCUUCUUAAGGAUCAACUCCUCGAGUCACAAGAAAAGCUCCUCCAGGCCUACAAGGAUCUUACGGCGGCUUUGGAGGAGAAGAAGGAGAGGGAGGCUGCUCUGACCGAGGCUAAGAAGACCCUAUCUACUAUGGACAGCAAGGUCUCCCGAACGGAGGAGGAUGCCCAAGUCGCUCGGGAGGCCUCGGAGAGGGCAAAGGAGGAAGCCGCGCAAUCGAGGGAGCGGGCCGUCUUGGCUGAGGAUGCGGCUACCAAGGCACAGGGGGGGGCGUGUGGUAUAAGGGCGCGGCCGCCGAGCUAGACAAGGAGAAUAGCCUCGUAGAGUCAGAUAUUGUCGCCACCCGGAGCACCUACCGUGGAAUAAAAGAGGAACUCCUGAAGAGUGAAAUUGCUCGAGGUGUAGCAGAGGAGGCUGAGAAGAAGGUGCGCGAGGACUUCCAGGCAGACCGGAUCCGCUCUCACGGUCUUUCUGAAAACGUUGAUCGUUUGAAGAGGAUGCUGGGAGAAAAGGAGGAAGCCAUCUUACAGUCGGGUAAGAUGAUCGAGGACCUACGGGUCAAACAUAUGGAUCUGUCUCACUCUUACAAGGAGAUCGAGAGAGCUAACACUGACUUAGUUGGUGAGAACACGGCUCUCAAGGAAAAGAUUCGCGGUAUGUUUUUCGUGCUCUUGUGUUUCUUUUUGUCGGGUUUUUUUUUGUAUCGUCUAACUCUCCUAUCUCAAUCUUUGUAGGGCUUAAGGAUGAUCUGCUGGCCGCCCAGGUCGACGCUCUAACCAGAAGAAUAAGGACUGCGAUAAAUGACCUCUCGAUCUCCUGGGAGCUCGAGCCAGCGGAUGAGUCGAGGUAGGCGGCUCGAGGCGACGCUCUAGUCGACUAGUUGUGUUACCUGGGUGCCACUCUAAGGGAUCGGGUGCGGGACGCGCUUCAUACUGGGGUGAAGUGGGCGAUGGUGGUUGUCUGCUCGGGCUUCUCCUACGAUAUGGAGGUGGUGUCCCACGGUUUCAUCACCGACAUCUCCAAGACUGAUGCUGAGAAUGAGGAGAGGCUCCAUGCCUUGAUCAACGAUGUGGAAGUUCGUGGCGAGAGGUUGGCGAAACUGUUCGAGCCAGUGGUGCUGCCCCCUGGGACCGACGUGGGUGUAGAAGACUAGAGGCGGAAGGGAAGACUAAGGGCCUACGAGCCUAAUCUGGGUACUUAGACCCAUUGUAAUAUAUUUGGCAUCUGUCUUGGUUGAAUGCUAUGGCUCGAGUGACCUUAAGACUCGUGGUUUUUAUGUACAUUUGCUUGCUUUUAUGCUUGAAUUUGCUUUGUUUCCAUUACUUCUUAAGUUUGUAUUCAUCGUUCGAUCUAUUGUUAGGGCGACCUUGAUUACCUCGAGGGUGAGGGAGUGAGUAGAGUUACCAUAGCCCGGGGGCAUAGGGGUUCUCAGGCUCGUCGUCCCUUGACCCUUGAGGGGCUCGAGGUACCUUUAUUACUCGAUCGUGUUAGGUUUCCUUAGAUCUUAACAAGGAAAAGAAGGUAACGCUUGAGCCUUUGAGAAAAUCAUUUGGUUUUUAAGAGCCUGUGGGGGGGUGUCCCCCUAUUAGCCCCCGAGGGAGUAUCGACUUAUGAUGGGUCAUGGUCGAUACUUCCUCUCUAACAUUGAGGUUUAGCUGGCAAUAAGAGUAUAUUACUUGAAAGUGUACUUUCAUUUAUUCAAAUAUUCAUUCACGGGGUCUUGGUACAAUAUAUGCAUGAAAACAUAAAGCCUCGAAGCUCUAAGGGUAGAAGCGACGUAGUUGUUCGAUGUUCCAUGCGUUGGUGACACUGUCCCCUUUUCAUCUGCUAGCUUGUAUGUCCUUGGCUUCAAGACCUCGGCCAAUAUGUAUGGGCCCUCCCAAGGUGGAGUUAGCUUGUGGCGUCCUUGAUUGCUUUGCCGUCGAUGUAGGACCAGGUCGCCUACGUUUAGAUCUCUCUUGCGCAUGUGCUUGUCGUGGUAGCGUCGGACCUUCUGCUGGUACCUUGCUGAGUUGAGGAGGGCCAUGUCGCGAGCUUCCUCGAGCUGGUCGACCGUGUUUUCUCGAGUCUCUUUGUUUGUUUGCUCGUUGUAGGCUUUGAGUCGAGGUGACCCAAACUCGAGGUCUAUUGGGAGCAUGGCCUCAAAGCCGUAGACCAUGAAAAACGGGGUAUAUUUUGUGGCUCUACUUGGCAUUGUUCUUAAGCUCCAUAGGACCGAGGAGAGUUCCUCGACCCACUUCUUGCCGAACUUCUUCAACCGGUUGCAGAUUCUAGGUUUGUGCCCUUACAAGAUCAUGCCCUUGGCUCGUUCGACCUGGCCGUUAGUUCGAGGGUGAGCUACUGCGGACCAGUUCACACGGAUGUGAUGCCGGUCACAGAAGUCCAAGAACUUUUUGCCGGUGAACUGCAUGCCAUUGUCGGUGAUAAUGACAUUGGGUAUCCCGAACCGGUGGAUUAUGUGGGUGAAUAAAAGGACCGCCUAUUCGGAGAGGAUGUUUGUGAUGGGUCGAGCCUCGAUCCAUUCGGAGAACUUGUCGAUGGCUACCAGCAAAUGGGUGUAUCCACCCGCUGCCCUUUGGAGAGGACCCACGAGAUCGAGGCCCCAUACUGCGAAUGGCCAAGUGAUGGGGAUCAUCUGUAGAGCAUGAGCGGGGAGGUGGGUUUGCUUGGCGUAGAAUUGACACCCAUGGCACGAGCGAAUGAGCUCGAUGGCGUUCGCAAUGGCCGUUGGCCAGUAGAAACCUUGUCGAAAGGCAUUUCCCAUGAGGGUCCUCGGAGCCGCAUGGUGGCCGCAAGCCCCCGAGUGUAGGUCCUCAAGGAGCUUUCGACCUUCUUCUAUGGUGAUGCAGCAUUGUAGGAUCCCCAUUGGGCUUUGUCGGUAUAGUUCUUUGCUUUCGCCAUAGAUUACGUAUGAUUUGGCCCGUCGAGCGAUACGGUGGGCCUCAGCUUGGUCUUCUGGUAAUUCACACCGGAUCAGGCAAUCGAGGAAACGUGUGUGCCAGCCAAAUGGUCAACCGGGGAGUUGGGGAAUUUGCUCGACCUCCAUUGCUUCUGCCACCGUUAAUACGGCCUCGACUGUGUCGGUGGGCUCGGGAGCGGAAGUUUCGGUGCUAGCCAAUGUGCCUAGGUCGAUAGAUGGCUCGUGCAGGUCCCUUGAAAUUGCAUGUGGCAGGACAGUGCCUCGAUUGGACACAAUCUUGGCGAGCUCGUCGACCGCUUCAUUGUAUCGUCGCGUGAUGUGAAUGAGCUUGAGGCCAUGGAACAUGUCCUCGAGCUUGCGUACUUCCUUGCAGUAAGCUUCCAUCUUUAGGUCGUGGCAGCUCGAGGCUUUCAUGACCUGGUCGAUGACCAGCUGAGAGUUGCCUCGAACAUCGAGGCAUCCAACCCCUAGCUCGAUGGUGAUUUUUAGCCCGUUGAUGAGGGCUUCAUAUCCUGCAACGUUGCUAGACGCGACGAAGUGUAUUCUGAUGACAUACCACAUGUGGACGCCGAGAGGUGAGAUGAACAUAGGCCUUCCUCAGCUCCUGUCUUCAUGAGGGAUCCAUCGAAGUACAUCGUCCACAGUUCUGCUUGAACCUGAGCUGGGGGGAGUUGGGUGUCCGUCCAUUCUGCGACAAAAUCUGCCAGUGCUUGGGACUUGAUGGCUUUGCGAGGCGCAUAGGUGAGGGUCUCACCCAUGAGCUCGACUGAACACUUGGCGAUCCUCCCGGUGGCCUCUUGAUUCUAGAUGAUCUUGCCCAAGGGGAAGGACGAGACCACCAUGAUCGGGUCACCACGAAGAUAAUGUUGCAGCUUGCGUCGAGCGAUAAUUAUGGCAUAAAUAAAUUUUUGAACCUGGGGGUAUCGUACCUUUGUGUCCGAUAGCACUUCGCUGAUGAAGUAGACUGGCCGCUGAACUGGUAGUGUGUGACCUUCUUUUGGUCUCUCGACUACCAUGGCCACGCUAACGACCUGGGUCGUUGUUGCGACGUAUAGGAGCAGAGGUUCUGCGGGUCGAGGGGGCACUAGGAUCGUAGCGGUGGUCAGCGUCCUUUUCAGAUUGUCAAGGGCUUCCUCGGCCUCGAUAGACCAGGUGAAGCGUUUGGCUUUCUUGAGGAGCCUGUACAAUGGCAAUGCCUUUUCCCCUAGCCUUGAAGUGAAACGGCUUAGUGCUGCUAGGCAGCUCGUAACUUUCUGCACACCUUUAACGUCUCAAAUUGGCCCUAUCCUGGCAACGGCUGAGACCUUUUUGGGGUUAGCCUUGAUGCCACGUUGGGAGAUGAUGUAUCCUAGGAGCAUGCCUCGAGGGACGCCAAAGACGCAUUUCUCGCGAUUGAGCUUCAUUUUAUUCGCGCGUAAACAGCUAAAUGUGAUCUUGAGGUCCUAAAUUAGGUUGCCCUGUCUCUUUGACUUGACGAUGAUGUCGUCGACAUAUCCCUCGGCUGUCGACCCUAUGUGCUCCCCGAAUACAUGAAGCAUGCACCACUGGUACGUCGCCCCAGCAUUUCAAAGCCCAAAGGGCAUGGUCACGUAACAAUACAUCCCAAAAGGUGUGAUGAAAGAUAAUUUGAUCACAAUACAUACCGCGAGCUGGUCUGAGUCUUUCAUCUUUAUUUGAUGGUAGCCGGAAUAAGCAUCAAGGAACGAAAGGGUCUCACAUCCCGCGGUGGAAUCGAUAAUUUGAUCAAUGCGUGGUAAAGGAAAAGGAACUUUUAGACAUGCUUUAUUCAAACUGGUAUAAUUGACACACAUCCUCAUUUUUCCAUUCGUUUUCUUAACUAAUACAGGAUUUGCUAACCAGUCGGGACGAUGAACCUCCUUGAUGAAUCUGGCUGUCAAAAGCUUGUGGACUUCCUCGCCAAUGAUCUUACGCUUCUCCUCGUCGAGGCGGCAUAAGCGUUGCUUCACAGGCUUGGAACCAGCUCGAAUCUCCAAGGAGUGCUCGGCGACUUCCCUCAGUAUGCCAGGCAUGUUCGACGGACUCCAUGCAAACAUGUCGGCGUUUGCAUGGAGAAAGUCGACGACCACGACUUCCUAUUUGGGGUCGAGGUCGGCGCUGAUCGUCAGCACCUUGUAGUCAGAGCUGUUGGGGUCGAGCGGAAUUUUCUUCGUGCCCUCUGCUGGCUCGAAGCUGCUCGCAUGAUGCUUAGGCUAUGGAGCCUUAGCGGCGAGGGCCUCGAGCCUCGAAGUGAGUUCGACAGAGGUCUCAAAAGCUUCCCCAUACUCAACGCAUUCAACAUCACAUUCGUAUGCGUGCUCGUAAGAGGAGCUGACGGUGAUGACCCCCUUGGGCUCGGGCAUCUUCAGCUUCAGGUAAGUGUAGUUGGGGAUCGACAUGAACUUGGCGUAUCCCGGUCGUCUGAUGAUGGUGUGGUAAGUGCCUCGAAAACCCACCACUUCGAAGUUGGCUGCUGUGCCAAAAUAGAUUGGUAGGUCGAUUCGACCCACCGACAAUGGCUUCUUUCCUGGCACAACGCCAUGGAAACCACCCACGCUGGGUUGGAGCUACGCCCUCUCAAUGCCUAGAAGGUCGAGGGUCUCGAGGUAGAUGAUGUUGAGGAUACUACCGCCAUCCAUCAAUACCUUCGAGAGUCGGGUGUUGACGAUGAUGGGGUCGACAACGAGCGGGUAGACGCCUGGAGCGACCACCCUAUCGGGGUGGUCGUCACGAUCGAAGGUGAUGGGGGUGCUCGACCAGUUGAGGUACUGAGGCACUGCCAUCCUUGCCGCGAAGACCUCGCAGCGUUCCCUCUUAUGCUGUCUCGUGGUGAGCGGCGUCGAAGGUCUGCCAUAGAUCAUGUAAUAGUCGUGGAUGGCAGGGAACCCUUCAUCUUCUGUGUGUUCCCCCCUUGUCGUCGCUCUUGUCUUUCCUCUGGUCGUCCUUCUUCAGCCCCAGGCUGUCGAAGUACUUUUUCAACAUGCGGCAGUUCUCGAGCUUGUGACUGGCCCCUCCCUUGUGGUAAGGGCAGGGCUCUUGAGCAUUCUGUCAAAGACGGCCCCCUCUGAGGGCCUCGAGGCUUUUUACGCUCAACGAUGGUGAUGAAAUCAUCGUCGAGAGCCUCGCGUUUGAUCGGUCGUGAUUUCUUCUUCUUCUUGCUCUUCUUGGAUCCUCUACUAGGGCCCUCGUCAUUGUCUACUGGUGCUUUCCCCUUGCCGCCCUCAUGGUUGAAGAAAGCACCGACCGCCUCUACACCAGCGGCGUAGUUUACCACCACAUCCAUCAGCUCGUCGACGGUCUAUGGUCGGCUUCGACCUAACACUCACACCAAAUCCCUACAUGUGGUGCCUGGUACAAAGGCCAAAAUGAUGUCAUGUCGGGGAUGUGCGGGAGCUCGGUGUGCUGCGUCGAGAAGCGUCGAGUGUACUCUCGGAGGGAUUCUCCUGAUUUCUGCUUGCAUUUGCUGAGGUCCCAUGAAUUGCCGGGGCGUAUGUAGGUCCCCUUGAAGUUUCCUUCAAACACCCGGACCAAAUCAGCCCAGUCAUGGAUCUGGUUGGCGGGGAGUUCCUCGAGCCACAAGCGAGUGGUAUUGGAGAGGAAAAGUGGCAACAAGCGGAUGAUAGCUCGAUCGUCCCCUCGAGCACCUCCCAACUGGCAUGCCAGCCGGAAGUCCACCAGCCACAAUUCUGGCUUGGUUUCGCUAUUGUACUUGGCAAUGCUGGUUGGGGGUCGAAACGGGCUUGGGAGCGGCGUGCUGUGGAUUGCCCUGCUGAAGACUCGAGGGCCUGGCAGUUCUAGCAUCAUUCGGUCUUCGUCGCUAUCAUAACACCCACCGCAGUGAGCGUUGUAGCCGUGUUCCUCCGCAUCCCCAUGUCUGCGGCGGCGAUGCUCGUUGAUGUCACGUCGAGCGUCGUGCUGCCCUCGAUUGUCGAUGAGGCGCUCCUGGGCAGGUAUUGCUUUCCUACCUUGAGGGGGCGGUUCUUGAUGCACCGACGCCUCCCUCUCGUUCAGGGCUAGCUCGACACAUUUUUCUGUGGCUGCCCCUCAACGUCGAGAGGCUAAGCUCUUGGCUUGUUGUGCUGCCGCCACGUGGAGCAGACUCUGUACCUCAUCUCGAAUGCACCGUGCCUAGGAGUUUGAAGGCUCAGGCAUGUUAUGUAGCAGCAUGGUCGCUGCCACGAUGUUCUGGCCCGCCCGAGGGAAGCGACUGACGGGUGGCUCUGGCUCCUCAUCCCCGAUGAUCUGCUGAUACACUUCUCGAGCACGACCACGCGCGCCCCCGCCGUGCGGAUGUGGUUGGUCUCGCUUGAGAGCCCGCUCAAGUUGAGUGAGGCGCUCGUGAUCCUCAUCAAGCUUGGCCUUAAGUUCUCACAGUUGCGCAAGUUGCGUAGCUUUGUCAUCUUGGGGUGGGAGGUUGACUUGUCCGUCAUUCCCAGGUGUCCUGGGAUCUUCCCUUGCUAUGGGUGCUCGACCACCGGUGGCGGUGUCUUGUGCGUCGUCCAUGGUAGCCACGUCCUCGUCGAUGUUGAAGCACUCCCUCGUGGGGUCGUAACUGUCAGAUUCGGAGUCGGGAUCUGGCUCGGCGGUGUAGAAACAUCCAUGCCCCUCCUCCACCAACUGCUGCCUGAGCGAGGUGAUGGUGUACCGCCCGGGUCCUAGGCAUCAAAGCCCACGCACCCAGAAAAAAUCGGACUGCUCAACCAUUUGCUGAGCUUGUUGCCAUGUCCCGGCGUCAUACGGGAGGACCAGUGGUCGCUCCAUGUAUGUCCUGACGCUCGAGCAUAUUGCCCUGGUGAACGACGUUGUGGCGCUGUCUAAGCCAAACAGGUAUGUCCGCCUAGCAGCAAACAGACUGUGUGGUAGCAGCGCGGACGGAGGUGAGUGUGCGCGAGGCACGCUACCGCCCGACGCUGUCACGUGGCUGUCCUGACGUUGGGUUGUCGUACCCGUGGCCUUGGCGCGUGGGGCCGUUGGCUCCUGCUCCGUUGCCCGCCUCGCACGAGGUGGUGAUCGCACAACGGUGGUGGGGCGGUGGCGAUGCUGCCCAUGCCUCCUCUUAGGCGGGGAAGCAUGGCGGCGAGGCCAUCUUGGAGCCUUUGAUCAUGUGGGCAUGAUACGAGCCCCUCCAGGUCCUUUGAUCGAGAGCAGUGUCAUGUCGUAGCCGAAGCCAAUGGACAUGAACUCGAAGCUCCCAAACCAAAUCACCGUGGAGCGUGGGAUCGGCGAGACGAGAGUGGUCAUCUAGAAGAAUAUGGGAAAUCGGUGGUAACACGCAGGACCACUACCUGGCGCGCCAACAGUCGGUGUUUUACCCCCAGGGGGUAACACCAACGAGUGAAUUUAUGUGUGUGCUCCCUCUUUAGGAUGGUGAUGCAAGAAUGACACAGGGAUUUAUUCUAGUUCGGGCAAGAGAAGGCCCUACGUCUAGGGAGGGAAGGGAUUUUGUAUUAUCUUGCUCCUAAGUGCUUGUAUAGGGGUGAAUACAGACUUAUGUAGCCAAGGGUUCUAAGUUCUGGCCGAUGGUGGUGUGUGGAUCGUAUUUUAUGGGUCGUGUGUCUUGAAUCUCGCCCUCGGUGUCCCCUAUAGUUCCAAGGGGAGACCUAGGUUACAGGGUGUAGGCAUUAGAAUAAGCCUCGAUAGGGGUAUGGUGCACUGACUCACUCGAGGCCUCCGUACUGGCGUGGACUCGAGUCGUCUUGUUACAAAGUACUUUGAUGAUGAUGGCGCGUGCGCUUCUGGAUUCAGCCCCUGUACAUCAUCUUAGAUUGGCUCAGGCAUAAGCAUGCUUGUACGUCGCGGCAGUAGUCACGUCUGGGGUUGUUGAAGCGCUGACUUUCAUCGCCUGAUCCUUCCCUGAGAAGGGAUGUGCUUGCUCGAGGGUUGGGCGUAUGAGCAGCUUUGCUGUGUGGGAACGCUGACUUUGGGUGCCUCGAGAGAUACCGUGAUGGGAUAUCACGUCUGCUAUACUGUGUCGAGUUGUACUUUUGUCCAUUUUAAUGGGUGCUUGUUCCCUAUCACAUUUCCCGUGACUGUCGGGUUAGGUGGGAGCAUGGAAGACGCAUUAAAUGCCCUGGCUUCCGUACUUGCGACAGGCGGCGGGAGGCGCUUUUGCGCUCGAGACCCAUCGAUUCGCUUGAGGCACUUUCCGUACUCGACAGUCGUAGUUCGUCGAGCCUUUGUUCAUUCGCAGGACCUUGCUCCCGUGUCCGAGGCCGCGGUCGACAUCGAGCUCUGGCGAUUACAGGUUUAGGUCAGAAGGUCGAGUUAGAGUCUCGAUUUGCUCACAGACCCCCCCAUUAUGGAUGUUGGUUGGGAUACCCCCUAUUGGUAUCCUCGACAUUUCUCGAUAGAUGAAAUCUACAAAAAAAAUGAGGGAUUGAAGAGGGCAGGCAUCUCCAGGUGCAGAUCAAGAUUGAGAAUAUGAUGGCUUCCUAUUGAGGAUAGGGCUCAUGAAGAUUUGGUCAUCUGGGUGCCUACGGCAAGUAAUCCGCCUAUUGCACGGCCGUUGCUGGCCUCAUCGCCACAUAGAGCGGAGCUGCAGACCGAAAACCUAGUCGACGGCACACUGAGGGUGAGUCACGUAGGGCCUGGUGUCGGGGAUGGAGAGCCGGUGGUGUUGGGCGGCCGGGUGAUGGGGUAGAUGUCGGGGCACGGGCUAAUGGUGGGGGUGGCCGGCCAGCCAGCAGUUGGGCUCUGUCGAGGCACGCGACGGUGCGUGUAGGUGCCAUGUAGAUUGCAGACGGGCACUGUGGGACUGGACCAGAGAAGUGACGUGUGUAUUGGGAAAAAAGAGGCCUCAAGUGGUGACUUAGGGUUGCAUCUCAGUAUUGGGCCCAAAUUAAUUGGCAGAAACUGGCCCAAAACAUUCCGCCAAUUGAUAUCUAUAUUUAGCAACGGAUGAUCUGUCUCAAUUAGUGCAAAAUAGCAACGGAUAAUCCAAUGCAAAAGUAAAAUAUCUAUAGCAAUGGACCAUCCAUUGAAGUAUUGAAUUUUAGCAAGGGAGGAUCUGAGGGGCACCUUUAGCAACAGACCGUUCAACGAUAAUUUUUACCUUUAGCAACAGAUGUCUCAAGCUAUUUUAGUGUUGUGGUGUAGUGAGUUGUCACCAAAUAGUAGGUACAUAUAAAAUCGUGCCAUACUGAAUUUACUGACGAGAAUAAAUCCACACAAUAAAUAAAGGAACAAUAAUUCAUCAUCCAUACACAACAUCACUAAUAAGAUUACUUAGCACAUUGUCAAAGGCAUGUUCGCGUACAUCCAAAACUUCCAGCAUACAUACACUAGACUUUUCAAAUGUCAACAUCACCCAACCACAUCAAGUACCACACACGACCAAGUCUCGACCUAGAUUUGGGUUACAUGCCAUGCAGAGAUAACAACAGCAAAAGAGAGGACUAGCAACUAGAACACUAUCAUCUACUCGCUGUGAUCGCCAUCCAUGCCUGAACCUUCACCUUCCUCAUCUUCGCUUGCUGCAACCUCCAUCUCUAGAUUCUCAUCUUCUUCUUCCUCACAGUCUACCUUAGCUGCACCAGGAGGAUGGUAUGGGUGGAGCUGAUUAUGCAACUAAUGAAUCUCCUCAUGCAAGUUCUCAUUGUACUCCUCAGUGUUAGCCAACUGCUGCUCAAGCUCUAACUGUUGGGCCCUAAGAGUAUCUUCCUCAUUCUAGGCUUCAUUCUUUUGUCUAGGCACAUGGAUCAGCAUACGCUCACUAUCCCUAUUGGCUGCCGCCAACCUAUUGUUGGCAUUUCUUAGCUUCACUACUAAAAAUAGACCAUAGAUCCAUCCUUAGCAAUGGCACCAGAAAUGUCAGGUGUUGGCAUACCGUAACUAUUGCUACAUCAGAGAGAUAACCCAAGCAACUCGAGGGUGCCGGCCUUAGCAGUGCAGUCUAGUUACAAUAAUUUGGAAUGCCGGAGUGGCCUUCCUAACCAACCUUACUUGCGAUAUGCAAAGCUAUGGCACUACGCUUGAAAGUGCAUAAGGAUUACAAUCUUAAGUAACGGUACUUAGGCACGUCAAUCGAUAGUUCAUGAAUGAAGAUUGAAUAUUAUUCAUACCAAGAAGAUCCUUUCUUCCAAGGAGACAAGCUCUACUUGUUAGCUAUUGCCUUGCUCUACUACUAAUCUAGACUAAAGAUACAAGUGAGAGGUGUGAGGUAAAUUGACUCCAAAUGAUGUGUGUGUUGAAAAGGGGGGAGUGCCUCUCUUUUUAUAGUGGAACUAGGACGGUUCAUCGUAUCUAAAUUUGGUAGUUGGUGAAACCGUCCUAUGCAGGGCGGCAUGCAACCGCCUGAGAAAGAUGGGCCCGGUUUGCCGCCUCUAGCGGUGUUCCCGCACCAGUGUUGGUCCCCCUAGCCACCACCUUCACGUGGUUGUUGACACCGUUUUUGGACACGUAUCUUUGGACGCGUAUCUGGAGUUAAUGAGGAGUGGAUCGGCAGGUAGAAAAGUGGUGACUAGUUGAUAGAAGAGUUGCCGAUGGGGGUUGGUGCCAAUGAGAAAACGUCAGAAUGUGGCCAAGUCCAGGAGUGGUGAUGGAUCUAUGCCGAUGACUGGUGCUGAUGGUUGCCGAUGGCUACGAGAGGUGGUUCGCCGAUGGUCACAAGGGAAGGCGCAGGAAUUAUCGGUCAGGUCAUGGUGGUGUACCGAUCGGUUGUGGAAGAUAACUUAAUGUUUCCAUAGUUAUUAGAGUUUGUUUUGUAUACGGAUUCCGUUCAAUUUGGAAUUCGAGUCCUAGUCGUGUCUGAUUGUAACCCUAUUGGGCCGGCUAUAAAUAUGAGACCCCGUAGCGAUGUAAGAACAUACACAAUCAAUCAAACACAAGUUUUUACAUCUAUUCCAGCAUCUACUUUUUCGACGACUUCGUCAACCUGCAUAUUUUUCCUUUUACUACGAGUUCUUUGGAAUUCUUCAAGUCAACCUCGGUGAAUUCUCGAGUUCUGUGUGAAUACUUCUUGGCCUUGACAUCAGGGCGCAUCGUUGUUGUCGGGACCAAAGUAUUCGAGUUACCACCUUUGUUGAUUGUAAGGUCAAAUCGGCUGGCACGCCUUAACGUUGGAUCGGGUAUUAGCCCUUUGUGUUUGUAGAUCUACUUUUGCAUUAACACAUCUUUUGCCACGCCUAGUGGGACAGAGAUUCAACAUCAAGAUCAACAUGUCGAACACCAAUUUCGACUUGGAGAACGUCAUCCCCGUGACGGAAGCCAAUCUUAGAGAUGAACAGAUGCAAGCUAUGGCAAAAGCUAUAGAGGACUACAAGAAACUAUGCCUGAAAUCCUCUAGUAUCAAUAGGAGUGGCGAGGUGAUCCAAAAGGAAGCAUUGCCGAUGCCUCGGCAAAUCACUUUUAAAGCUAAUCCUGGUAAACUAAAAGAGAUGGUUGAUAGUGCUAUCAAUCGUGCUCUAAUCAAUCAGUCUAGUGUGCUGUCCAAUACAGUUUUCAAUGCUGUGGCUAGAACUUUCAAAGAAGGACAAAUACCACCAUCUUAUGUGGGCCCUGCCUAUCAUCAGCCAGGAUCAUCAUCGGUUACAGCUCCAUCGGCUACUACGGCCAUUGCGGGUAUGGAGGUUACUUCUCCUCCAAGCACAUUGGGGAUGACUAAUGCGCAAUCUACACCGAUGAUGACUAAUCCAUCAAUAUCAAAGGGACAAGUCAAACUUGCUACAGAUUUAUUGGCAUCAGCAAUGUUCAGGUCUGUUCCUCCGAAUUGGUGGGGAUAUGGAAUGCCCCUAGAAUUUAUGGCAAAAAGUUCUAGGAUGUCUCAAGUGGCUGACACGACAGGCAAGGCUCCUAUGGCAUCGGCACCCACACGAUCACCGAUGAAUCAGAAUCCUCACUAUUCCACAACUACCACUGCAAGACCCUUUACUGGAAAUUCUCAAAUACCAAUGUUCCAGAUGCCUAAUGCAUCGGCAGAUCCCAUGCCGACGCAGCAAAGGUUUAUGACACAGCCAGGGUAUGCCAAUUCAAUGAUGAUGCCCAAUUAUCAGCCAUCGGCAGGGCCUACGCCGAUGCAUGUUAACAAUGGAUGGACAGGGCAGUUUGUCUUUCCAUAGACACCUCAGCAGAAUCAUCAGGCUAUGGGAUUUUUGCAGGGACCAAUGCAACCUGGAUUUCAGAAUCAAGGGUUGAUCAACCAGCCGAUGAAUCUUUGUCAGCAAGUUGGUGGCCAACAGGUGGUGGCUAAUCCUAUGUUCCCUGGAGAUCAUGCACCGCAGAGACACGUGGAAGCUUAUCAGCAAAUGCCAGAUCCACAACCAGCUUAUCGGCAGGAUGCCGAUGCUUACUGGGCUGAUAAGAUAGCUUAGGUGAUGAGAGACCAAUUUGGAAUAAAACCCAAAGUCAACACUUACUCUUAUCGGACACCGUAUGCUCCUGCAUAUGACUUAAUUCCGCUUCCAAAUCGGUACAAGGUGCCAGAUUUCACCAAGUUUUCUGGACAGGAUGAUACAAUGCCAUGGAGCAUGUUAACAGGUUCAUCUUCCAGUGUGGGGAAGCUGCUAAUAGAGAUGAGCUAAGGGUUCGUUUAUUCUCGUCAUCUUUAUCUGGAUCAGCCUUUACCUGGUUUAUUUCAUUACCUCCAAACUCAGUAAUCACCUGGGCCGAUCUAGAAAAGCAAUUCUACAAAUAUUUCUUUUCUGGAGUCCAUGAGAAGAAGAUUACCAAUUUAGUCAGGCUGAGGCAACGCAAUGAUGAAUCAGUUGAAAGCUUUGUGCAAAGGUUGCGAGAUGUUAAGAAUAAAUGUUACAGUUUGGUUUUGGAUGAUCAGCAGCUCGCUGAUUUGUCUUUCCAAGGAUUAUUGCCACACAUAGUAUGCUUCUCAAGAGUUUGAAAGUCUAAGCCAUUUAGUGCAGAUGAUUUCUGAUCAAGAUAUCAAAGCUUUUGAACCCAAGAGGGCAUGGAACAAAAAGGUAUCAUUUGUCGACGAGGCAACAAGCUCAGAUUCUAAUGAAGAGCCAGUCAUCGGCUUGGCAGAAGGGGUGAAAAAUAAGAAGCCGAUGUUAUGCCCUUUCGGGCAUAAGGAGCCAGAAAAGUUUGCAUUUGAUAUCAACAAAGCCGGUAGAAUUAUUGACUUUCUGCUUCAGGAGGGGCAGAUUAAGUUGUCACCUAACCAUGUGAUUCCAUCGGCAGAAGAAUUAAAGAAGACUAAGUAUUGCAAGUGGCAUAAUGCAACAUCUCAUACUACGAAUGAGUGCAAGGUUUUCACACAACAACUACAAUCAGCUACAGAGUCUGGGAGAAUUAAGUUUGAUAGCUCCAAAGCUCAAAAGCUGAUGAAGAUUGACCAACAUCCUUUCCUCACAAAUAUGUUAGAUGCUAAGGGAAAGACCAAAGUAUUAACUUCAAAGGCAGCUGAAAAAAGCGCAUCGGUGGAUCCCCAGCACCAGAUUACUGCCGAUGAUGCCAAAGGCAAGGGUUUGAUCUAGGAAGGAACCAGCUCAGAAAGGCCUCCUCGAUCUGGUAUUGUGAUCACUCAUAGAAGGCAUUGGGAAACCUAGCAACAACGUGAAGAUCGGUAUCAGCGCCAACAGGAGGAUCGUCGUCGGGAAGAAGAAAGAUGCCGACAAGAGUGGAAUCGACAUAAAGAUCACUGGAACUGCCCGUUCUUCAUCCACUGUUGGGAGCAAAACAUCAAGUUACCAACUGUUAGAGAAUUCCCUAAGUGCAAUGGCUAUAAUCGGUAUGAUAGGCCGAAUCGACAGUAUCAGAACGAUGAUCGACGUUUUGAUGGGCCGAUUAGAGGAAGGGCCUCAGUUCAUGAUCGGCUAGGGGGCAGACUCAGUGAGCGUGUUGGAUAUUUUCCUAGAAACCAAGAGAAGCUUGAGGAGAUGGCGGAUGCGCGAGUUCUCGAUGAGUUCAUAUUUUGCAGAGAUGCUAAUACUUAUCGGGUGGAAUCAAGGGAAAAUCGUCGCCAAGCAGUGAGACAGCCGCAACUUCCACCAUGGUGUCCAGAGGGGUUAACUAGGACACAAAAAAGAAGGCUGCAGCGGGAGCGACGAGAAGAGCUGAGUAGAGAAGAGAAUCCCGCCAAGUCUGGAGAUCGACAGCAGUAGGAUCCUAAAGGAAAAAGUCCAUCGGCAGAUGUUAAUAUGGUGUUUAUGUUGCCAAUGGAGUUGCUUGUGCCCUUCAGUGAUGAUGAGGAGGCGGAUUUUCCCGAUCAUAUAGCUCAGUUGGCUCUGGAUCCGAUGACGGCUAUCUUUGAAAAGCCCGCUAAUAAUGAGAGACAACAUCUUAAAGCUCUGUUUGUCAAAGGUAGGGUUGAUGGGCAGCCGAUGACCAAGAUACUUGUUGAUGGUGGGGCUGCUAUCAAUAUUAUGCCAUAUGCAGUCUAUCGGAAGUUUGGGAGAGGAGAUCAAGAUUUGACCAGGACUGAUAUGAUGCUAAAGGAUUUUGAUGGGAAUGUAUCUCCAGUCAAAGGAGCCAUAUGUGUUGAGUUAACCAUCGGCAGCAAAACCAUGCCGACAACUUUCUUUGUCAUCAGUGGAAAGGGUGCUUAUAAUUUGUUAUUGGGGAGAGAUUGGAUUCAUGCCAAUUGUUUUAUCCCAUCUACAAAGCACCAGUGCUUGGUUCAGUGGGUAGGUGACAAAGAGCAACAGUUUGUAUGAUUCUUGCUUUUAGUCCUUUACUUAAGUUGAAAGCCGAUCAAGAGUUUGUAUGGGAAAAGAGCAACAUUUAGCCUUAGACAAAAUAAUAAAUUACUUGACAAAUCCUCUAGUUCUGAUUCCACCUCAGCAAGGAAAACCUUUCAAAUUGUAUUUGUCUACCGAUGGGAUGGUCAUCGGUUCGGCUCUAAUUCAAGAAUUUGAAGGGAAGGAAUGUGUGAUUUAUUAUUUAAGUAGAAGACUGGUUGAUGCUGAGACAAGGUAUUCGGCAAUUGAAAAAUUAUGUUUAUGCUUAUAUUUUUCAUGCAUCAAGUUGAGGCACUAUUUGCUAUCGGCCGAAUGCACUGUUAUAUGCAAAGAUGAUGUAGUGUGGUACAUGCUAUCUAUGCUGAUUAUGAGCGAUAGAAUUGGCAAAGGGAUUUUGGCAUUGUCGGAGUUUGAUCUGCAUUAUGAAUCGGCUAAGGCAGUUAAGGGGCAGAUUAUGGCCGAUUUUGUGACUCAGCAUAGCGGUGUAGUAGGGACCUUGGAGAUCGUUCCUUGGAUGCUCUUCUUUGAUGGAUCUACAUGUGACCGGGGGGCAGGAAUCAGUAUAGUACUAAUUUCCCCUCGAGGAAAGAAGUAUGAGUUCUCUUUGCUGAUUGUUGCCACAUCAACAAAUAAUCAAGCUGAAUAUCAAGCUCUGAUCAAAGGGUUGGAAUUGUUAAAGGAGAUUCAUGCCGAUGCUAUUGAGAUCUUCGGCGAUUCUAUGCUUGUUAUAAAUCAAUUGGCUGGAAUUUAUGAAUGCCGAAGCGGAGUUUUGAUAACAUAUUAUGAAAAGAGCAUACAACUGUUAACGGAAUUCAAGGAUUUCUGAUUGGAGCAUGUUCCUCGAUUACAUAAUGAAGAGGCUAAUCGGUUGACUUGGCAUGCCUCAGGAUAUCAACCUAUUUUAAAUGUGUUAUUGGCAAUCAGUGCCGAUGAUUGGAGAAAAUAAAUAAUUGAUUACUUAAAAGAUCCAUCUAAAAAGGUUGAGAGGCGUGUCAGGUUUCAAGCUACUAAAUAUGUACUCCUUGGUUAAGUGUUAUAUUAUCGAACGAUAGAUGGAGUUCUACUCAAGUGCUUGGGUAAUGAUGAGGCUAGAAGCUUGAUGGGUGAGAUCCAUGAAGGAGUAUGUGGAGCACAUCAGUCGGAUUUUAAGAUGAAGUGGAUGAUUAGGAGAAACGGGUAUUAUUGGAUGACUAUACUUGAGGAAUGCUUUAAAUAUUUCAAAGGAUGUCAAGGAUGCCAAAGGUUUGGUAAUAUUCAAAGGGCACCCGCAUCGGCCAGGGAUGGGCUAUUGAUCUAAUUGGCCAGAUUUAUCCGCCAUCAAGCAAGGGGCAUAAGUUCAUCUUAGUUGCCACUGAUUAUUUUAAUAAGUGGGUCGAAGCCAUUCCUUUAAGAGAGUAACAUCGGCUAAUAUGGUUGAUUUUGUGAAAGAGCACAUUGUUUACCGAUUUGGUAUUCCUCAAACAAUUACUACCGAUCAGGGUACUAUGUUUACAUCGGGGGAGUUUGAUGAAUUUGCAAUCGGUAUGGGGAUUAAAGUGUUGAAUUCUUCUCCUUAUUAUUCUCAAGCCAAUGGACAAGCCGAAGCAUCUAACAAAGGGAUUAUAAAGCUCAUCAAGCGAAAGAUUGACGAAAAUCCUAGAAGGUGACAUACUUUGUUGAAUGAAGCUUUGUGGUCAUAUCGGAUGGCGUGUCAUGGAUCGACCAAAGUUUCACCAUAUCAGUUGGUAUAUGGACACGAUGCGGUGUUGCCAUGGGAAAUUAAGACUGGAUCUAGGCGGGUCUCUUUUCAAGAUCAAUUGGCUGCCGAUGACUAUGCUACUUUGAUGAAAGAUGAGUUGGAGGAUUUGGCAGAGCAUCGGUUGAGAGCUUUGAUAAGUAUAGAAGAAAAUAAAAAGAGAGUUGCUAGAUGGUAUGAUAAAAAGGUAAAAGCUAAAGAGUUUGCUGACGAAGAUUUGGUAUGGAAAUUAAUUUUACCGAUUGGUACUAAAAGUUCAAAGUUUGGAAAAUGGUCUCCUAAUUGGGAAGGUCCUUAUCGGAUAAAUCGUCUGGUCCUGGUAAUGCUUAUAUUUUAGAAACUCUCGAAGGAGUUGAGUUUCCCAGAGCAUUGAAUGGAAAAUAUCUAAAGAAGUACUACCCAAGCAUCUAGGUUGAUGCAUCAAAAAGUUUUCUAAGAGCAGAACGAAAUAGGUUGUGAAGAGUUCAUACAUUUAGCAAGCCUUGGAUGGCCGAUAUGGCGCGCAGGUGGAUUUGGUCGGCUUCUUCUAUCUCCCGGAUGUCGUCAUCGGCAGAACCCUCUACUGGCUUCAGGUGCUUUUUCAUUGGUAGUGCCUCACGAGCCUAGAUCUUUCGUUCUUGCUGAAGAGUCUUGAUCAUCUCAGGCAGUUGGCUUUCUUCUUGUUGAGCUUGAGACAGGGCUUCUUCCACUUGUUUGAGCUCGGCUAGCAGGGUUUCCCUUCUUGCUGAUAGGUCGGAAAUCUUUUGCUUCAGUGUCUCCCCUGAGGACUGCAGAAUGCUGAUGCUCUUAUGUUUCUCAUCAGCAAGACGCUUUACUUGCAUUACUUCCUCUGUGAGUUAGGCAUGAGCGGUUCUAUCGGCAAGACGCUGGGUAGCUUUUUGGUAUUGGAGCUGGCGACUUUCCAAGUAUGCAGCUUGUAACAAGGCUUCUUUUGCAUCGGCUGGGAUCUGGCCUUGAAGGGUCUUAAACAGAGCUUUAGUUAGAUCGGAGUCAUCGACCAUACUAGGCAGUAUCUUGGUGCAGUAGGGCCAACAAGUCUUCUAGCUUGGCUUUUAUUUCUGCCGAUGAAAUUCCUACUGCUUGGAGGAGCUUGCUUCUUUACCUUCAUCAUCAGAAAUAUCGAUGGCAAAGGAGAAUAAGCUGUCUAGGGAGUCCUGUUCCUAAAAAGAUGAUAAAAAUAAGUUAUUUGAUGGUCAGAUGUUAGUGAUAUAAAAGGUGGAAAUCAGAUAACUUACUUGCUUCAAAGCUAUUUCACGCCUCUGGCUGGUCAAUGAUGUUGGUACUACAGGUUGAUCGGCUAGAGUUGCCGAUGGGAUGAUGUCAGUAGAAAAAUUACAAGAAUAAUUAUAAUUUGUAAAGAUGUAUCCAUCAGUGAUAAUUUUGUGAUCAGUACGUUACCUUGAGGAGGUGCAGUGCUUGUUUGUUCUGGAGGAACAACCGAUGAUAUGAUCAGAUCCGCUGGAUCGGCAGUGUGCUCAAGCACAUCGGCUGGUGCUUCUUAUGGCUGAGGUGCUGGUUGAGGAGGAGACGGUGCUUGUUGUGUCUGGAUUUCUGGUGAAGAUGGGGACGAUUCCACGCGAAUUGGUGAUACUAGACGAGGAGGAGAAGAUGGUGCCUUCCUCUGACGCUUUGGUUGCGACUUGGCGCCGUCCUCUUGGCUUGGCUAGGCUGGGGGGCAUCGGCACUUGUUUGGGCACUUCUGGUCUUUGCCGAUUUGCCAGUUUGCUGUUGAAAUAACCAAAGAUAUUAUCAGAAGAGACACAAAAGGAUAUUGAUGAAAUUUUGUUAAUCAAUAAAGUUACCGAUGAGGUCCCAGUAGCAGUUGAUGUGCCCUAAAAAGAUUAUGUAAGUAAUGGAUGAAAUCGGUAGAAGCCAAGAAAAUUAAGAGUUUACCUUAAAAGCCUGUGCCAGAGUAGCAGCGUCAACCGAUGGGGAAGUUUUUGACCGCCUGGUGGUCGUCUUCUUGAAGCGCACAUUCUGAUGCGCUAGGGCUGCUAGACUCGGCGCGUUAUGACCGAUCAGAGAGAUUGGGCCCGAUGGAAGGAGUUCGAUCGAUUUUCCACUCCUGCUGACUGACGGUGGUGAGUUGUCGACCUGUUCAAAAAAGGAGGGGGUGAGUUACCGAUAAGGGUAAAAGCAACAAAAGAACUGAGGUAUCGGUUGAAGACUUACAGUGUUAUCGGGGAUCUUAUAGUUGCGGUCGACCAUACCGUGGUAUUUCAAAGCCGAUGUGCAGAACAAGUGUUCUUUCCACUCUUCCCACCACUGCUUGUACAUCUGAGUGAUGAAAAAGGCUGGGAUCCAUGCCGAUAAAUCAAUGUCUGACAUAUCGGCAUUCGGCUGAAGCUGAGCUAUUCUUAUCCACUCAAGUCCGCUGGUUAUAAUCUCCUUGGCUUCACUACAUCGGCAUAGCAGAGUCCAAUCGACAGCUGCCCAAAAGCCAGUUGACGAGCCAGUGCCGAUGGGUUAUAAAAUUCAUAAGUGGGGAUGGAAUUCUUCCCACUGCCAAAGGUAUUCACUGGUAUGGCCCUCACAGUGUUAAUUGCCAUCAUUAGGUCAUGGUCCUUGUUGAGAGCAUCAUCAAAAGGGUGAAAAAUGAGUGGGAAUCUGGUUUCUAGAUCUUCAUAAGGCAUCCAUGCCCGCUGAUCUUUGGAAAGGCCCUCUGUUGGGUAUUUUAAACGCAAACAGAAAAAAUCCGCAAGCGCAUGGAUACCGAUGUAGCUUUCACCCGGGAGUAUUCCAGAGUAUCGAUUUUCCACAGAGAACGUGAGUGUACUAAUUAAGAUUCAAGAUCGCCCAAGGAUAACUAUAUAAUUAUUUUUGGUGGGAAGAGAGGAAGUUUCCUGAGAGUUCUCUAGUUGAUCUAAGAAUCAAGAAUUACUUAAAGAUUAUCUAUAUCGGGACAUCAGAGCACUAACCACAGAAAGAGAUGAGAAGGGGGCUAGGAAGGUCUGACUACGGUCCUACAAACACCGAUCCGAACGUGGUGGAAUACGUCGACCGUUAGGGCUGUCACUACCCUAAGGCUACCACAGCAAUCCGCAGGAUUGGGUGCAAUUCCAGGUAAUUGCAAGACUAAACACCACGUCUAAUUUAUUAAUUAGUACUCUAGCGUUAUAAAGACUAGAGCACUUGAUGCAAGCGGGAAUCCAAUAAAUAACUUGAAUGUAAAUAAAAGUAAUUAAAGAACUCAGGAAUUAUGAAUUGAAGAACUUGGAGAACGAUGAAGAACGAACGAGAUGUUGCAAAAGUAUAAUGUUGAGGAAGAUCCGAUAGAUCCGGCUCCUCCUCCGCUCUCCUCUUCUCUCUCCCUAUUUUCUAGAUUACAACUAGAACUAACUAGAACUAGAUGAACUAGAACUAGAUCUAGAUGAACUAGAGGUAGAACUAGAAGAACUAGAGGGAUCCUCUCUACUUGGAUGAAGAAUUGAAACCCUAACUUUGAUUCUGUAGAAGAGGUAUGAUCUCCAGGGGCCAGGGGUGUCUGGUUUUAUAGUCUCUUCAAGUGAAUCUGGGCCGUCGGAUCAAACCGACAUUGAUUGAACGGUUAUUGUUGAUCCUUUAGGUCGGUGGAGCAAUAUCCCGAAAGAGAGUCCUGAUUGGACUCUGGCUGAGGGCGGGCGCCCAAGAAAGGAGGGCGGGCGCCCUGUCCCUGUGUCCUCUCGGCCUCCGCUUCGGUCCCGUGGCUUCUGGAGUCUUCUAGAUGAUAGAAAAUUGCGCGGCACAUUAAUAUCUCUAUGUAAACCCGACGUGUGGGCCUUUCUUCCGUAUUUCCUGAUAACCCCCUGCAGAAAUACACAAACACCAAAACUCGUGGAAUUCUAUCAGAUAAAACCCUAAGUCUAGGUGUUGGUUGCAUAUAAGUCCUUUUCUAUGAUUAAUUGAUGGUUAAAUAUGAGCAUUAAGGACCAUCAACAAGCUCCCCCAAGCUUAACCUUUACUCGUCCCUGAGCAAAGCUAAAAUCAUCAAGAAAAUAGGGGUUACUUUUAUGCCUUUUACUAAAGGGGUUUUAAGUUAUCACUAAGGUCUUAAGUGAUUGAAAAACAGAAUGAUCAAGUCAAGCACUAUGUCUCAAGUUCUUCUGUCUUACCUUUGUUCUGGAGUUGUUUGUAAGUUUCCAAAAUAAAUCUGAGGCAUUUGCCUUCUUCUCGAAAGAUAUAUAAGUAGAGCUUUAAAAAUUUUAGCAUACUUACUUUGCAUUUUGCUAUGUCAAUGCUCGGAGCAAGGGAGAGGAAUGUCAUACUCCUAGAUCAAGACCUUUGACCUUUUUGAAGAGUUUGUCAUCUCUUACUGGCAUAUUGCUUAUUAGAGGGACCAUGGGCUAUCAUUUUUUUCCUUUUUUUUUUCUUUUUUUUAGUCUUUUUUUUCAAGUGGGCAGCAAGUACCCCUAAUUCUACUGUCGGACACAUGUCCAUUUUUUUCCACUCAGGUGGGUAUCUUUGUACCCCUAAUUCUACUUCGGACACUUGUCCAUUUUUACCUCUCAUCUCACUCUUUUUUUUUCGAAUCAAAUUUUUGCAUAGUCCCAUGCCUCUAACGCAAUAAUACUUCGGAAGAGUGAAUCUUUUAUAUUUUUUAAAAAAAAAGAUCUUGAUCUUGGGAGCAUGAUAAUUCUCUCAACCAAAACUACAAGAAUUAACAAUGGCUUGAACAAAGAAAGUAUCCACAGUUUUAAUAUUUAUUUCUUAUAAGAAUCUAGGUAUUAUGAUCUCAUAUAUUUUUUAUGAAUUUUUAGAUUUUCAAAAGAUAAAAUCUCCAGAACUCUAGCAAAACUUGGAACAAGUUAAAUAGUAGCUCAGACCUUCUCAUAUCAUGUUUGUCAAUUACCUAGACUUGAAUCAAACUUUCUUUUUAUUUUAUUUAAAACUUAGUAUUACAUAAAACUAUUAUAUAUUACUCAAAACAAAAACUGUGUUUGGUUUCAUGGUUAUGCAUUUUUUUUAUUUCCGAAUACUAGUAAAUAAAACUAAGAAAGAAAAAUAAUACUUAUCUUGAUUUAUUUUUUUUAUUUAGCAAACUAAGCAAAGAUAUAUAUAAGCAUAAAAUCUUUAUUUGGGUUUUUAUGAUUAUGCAUCUUUUUAUUAUUUGAGUAAAGUAUAAACGUGAGUAGAACACUUAGUUGGAUAAAUGGGGGUGCUCUCCCCCAAGCUGGAUUUUGACAUAAUUUCUUCUGAUGUAGCUAGCAGGUGGCGGAGGUGUAUUUGAAUGUCGGCAGCACUCUGACAGCGAUUAGGAUGUCCUUCGUCUGCUAGUCUUCUUUGAUCCUUGAAUUCUGUGGAGCUCAAAUAGACAACAAAGCUUUGUGGAACUAGUUAAGUGUUAGCAUAAAUAUCUAGCCUUUAUCAUGUUGGGCCUCCUCAAUAAAUGUUACUCAUUACUAGGAUCAUAAUUUUAUUUUUAUAAUUUUAUUUUUAUAGGACAGGAAUAUAUUUAUUUUAUUUUUAUGCCACCACAGUGAAUGUACUUAUGGGCAUGGGGCUUACUAUUUUUAACAUUUUUAUUUUCUUUUUAAGUUGAUAUGAACCUGAUUAACUAAGCAAACUAUUUUAAAUAAUUGAAAGGGAAAAAGGGAUAACUACCAAGUUUAACUCUUACCAAGGCGUUCGGUGUUUUUAAGUCCUCCGAACGGGACUCUCUAUUUUCUCAGUUGUCCUGGGAUUCGCUGGAUGGCGUAGUCAGUGGUUCCGGCGGCGCCUGGUCUUCAUGUAUAACUAUCUUCUCUCUCCACACCUGACACGGUGCUACAGUCUCCUCAGGACAGUUCUGUUCAAGUUGUAUGUCUUCAGACCUUACCACUUCUCCUUCAUAAUCCGCCCAUUCGUCCUUGAUAAUUUGCCUACUCUGGUUGCGGUUGCGUCGUCUUCUUCUUGUCCUGACCUGCUUAGAGUCUUUCAACUAUGUAGUUAAGGUUAGUAAAAUAGUGGCGUACCUUUUCAGAGGAGAAGUGCAUGUGGGCUCCGCCGGUUCCAAUGUAGAUGAUUGCUUUAACGGUGUUGAGGAACGGUCUUCCAAGGAUGAUGGGUGGAUCGUACUCGUCUUCUCCUAUGUCAAUAACUUCAACCUUCUGAAAUGUUUGAUCUGCCAUCUGGAGCUGGGUGUAUGUCGGUUUUAAGGGCAUGAUUCCCAACAGAAGCUGAUAGGUAACUAAGUCGUCCUUUUUGGUCAGGAACGGUGACUUAAAUAGAUGAUCUUGACCUCCUUGAACUGCAGUGACCAUCUUAGCUGACUCGGUCCACACUUGCUUGUUCUUGUUCCUCCUGUUGGUCCUCUUCCUUGGUUCAUGUCGGGAAUGCUCUGAGAUUGUGUAGUCUUAUUCUUGAAGGAAAAUGUCUCAUUUCUCCCUUUGAUGUAGAAACUGAUCUUGGCAGCACUAGCGUAGAUGACAGCUCCCGAGGUGUUCAGGAAUGGCCUCCCUAAGAUGGGUGCCCUCUCAUCAGUAUCAGUCUCUAUCACCACGAAGUUUGCUGGGGCGUACAAGGUACCAACUCGAACGCAGAGGUUCUUCAAUAUUCCCUUUGGGAAACUUAGUGUCUGAUCUGCAGGCUUGGGCAUUAUGUUGACGCUGGAGCCAAAGUCGCAGAGUGCUUCUAGGAAGUCCACCAUGCCGAUGGAGAUCGGGAUGACGGGGCAUCCUGGGUUGUCUCUCUUGACCGGCAGAAGGUCAGUAAUUACUUCCACUACGGGGUUACUCCAGUAGUUACGUCCUCAAGCAUCUCAGGGCAGUGAUUGCCUGAGUGUCUAGUAUCUCCAGUGUGUUUGUGCUCCUAGAUCUAGGUUCUUCACUUGGUGGAGUCUGGGAGUUGUAAAACUCCUUCAUAUUUUGUUUGAAGUAUACCUGCUCAUAAAGACAAGGCAGAGAUCAAGUGCCUGGGCCCUGUUGGUCGAAAACACCAACAGAACCAAAAGUGUAUUUGUUCUUCUCUAACCUUAAGCAUAGUGAGCAAGACAAAGUUGAAGGAUAAUAAGAUCAUGAGUGUAGCAUUUAAAGCAUUUGUCAGAUCAGAUCGCUCAACCUAAUGGAAAAAUAAUCUAUCUAUAUUUAUGUUGUUUUGUUUUUUUAUAAAAUAUAUCUUCCAAAGAUUGAGUGUGCAACAUUUUAGCUCAUAUGAUUAGGAGUGUGGGAUCACAAAGGUGGAAUGACUAAACAUAUUGAAUCGACUGGGUUGGUUAAUCUAGAUUUGUAAACCAUACAUGUUUGUCUCUUUUAUUCAUGUGAACGCCAGAACCAAGGAGAAGCUUAUAAAAGUGAUAGUCAAGUACCUUAAGAUGUUACCUUACUUGAAGAGUGAUGGUACGGUAUCUCCUUGUGGAAGCUUUCCUUUCUUAGCGGUUGUGCAUCGUGUUUGUAGCACCCUCCAUGGAUCAUCUCUUGUGAGCUAUGCCUUCCUUGUGUAAAUUGUUAAACUUCAUGUGCCUCUCUCUUUGUCAAAAAUGUGAGUGUAUCUCAGGACUUCCCAGGUCGAUAGUGAAAGUUUUCCUGUAGGGGUUAGUCCAACAAAAUAUCCCAUAUCUACUAUAGCAUACUAUCGGCUCAAAAAUCAACCUAGACACCAUGUCUAAUUUGAUUCAGGAGGGAUUUUUUAACCUAAGCACCAUGCUUAAUUUAAAACCAAUUGGAAGUAAGAUCAUCAUUCCUAAACUAAGCACCAAGCUCAAUUAAGAGAUAAAUGAAACUACUCCAAACCUAGACAUAUACUAAAGCAAAUAAAGGUAGCAUGAGAGCAUUUAUAGAGAUCUACUCAAGUGGAGAUGAAGUAGUGUGAUUAGUAUUUAACAAAUUGAGCAUGUCUCAAUGGUAGGGUCAACCAAUAUAGCAACAUGGCAAAGGAUGUUUUUAUGUAAAGUACUCCCCCAAGCUUGAAUUUUGCAAAAUUCAAGUUUGGAUGAAUUUAAUUCAAUGUUGUAUGAUGAUUGGUUGUACAUACCUUGUGCUUGUCAUUCAUCCGAUCUUCUUGCUCCAAUCCUGGAAAGGUUAGUGACAAGAAUACCCGAAGGAAUUUUUUUACAAUUAUCCUUAUAUGCUCAAUACACAAGUUAAUGUUGCAAAUAAUAAAAAGUUCAUGUUAUAAUCUGAUUAGUGCUUGUUUUAGGACACUAAGCUUGUCCUUGGGAAACCAUCAAUUUAUGUCAGUGAAGUGGUUUCCCCUCCAACGCUGACCUAUAUCAAGAUCAACUCAACGAGAUCUGCAAAAUUUAUUAUAAACAUAUGCAUCGACAACCGCCCUUUUAAAGUUUUUGUAAAUAUAAAGGAAGAGGGGGUUGGAGAUCUCGAAUGUGGUGAUGUUGGAGAGACCAAUGGAUUGUGAAGAUGUUGCAUAUGAGCAUGGAGUAAAUGAAGUGGCUAUGAAAUAAAUUCCAUGCUCAUUAAUGCUUAGAGUGAAAUCCAUGUGGUAUGGUGAAAAUGAUAAGGUGAGUGUGGUAAAAAAAAGAAAAGAAAAAGGAUACACGGACAACUUGGUUCGAAACUAGCACAGCUACCGUUCCCCGGCAACGGCGCCAGAAAGCUUGUUGGGUAUUUUAAACGCAAACAGAAAAAAUCUGCAAGCGCACGGAUACCGAUGUAGCUUUCACCCGGGAGUAUUCCAGAGUAUCGAUUUUCCACAGAGAACGUGAGUGUACUAAUUAAGAUCCAAGAUCACCCAAGGAUAACUAUAUAAUUAUUUUUGGUGGGAAGAGAGAAAGUUUUCUGAGAGUUCUCUAGUUGAUCUAAGAAUCAAGAAUUACUUCAAGAUUAUCUAUAUCGGGACAUCAGAGCACUAACCACAUAAAGAGAUGAGAAGGGGGCUAGGAAGGUCUGACUACGGUCCUACAAACACCGAUCCGAACGUGGUGGAAUACGUCGACCGUUAGGUCUGUCACUACCCUAAGGCUACCACAACAAUCCACAGGAUUGGGUGCAAUUCCAGGUAAUUGCAAGACUAAACACCACGUCAAAUCUAUUAAUUACUACUCUAGCGUUAUAAAGACUAGAGCACUUGAUGCAAGCGGGAAUCCAAUAAAUAACUUGAAUGUAAAUAAAAGUAAUUAAAGAACUCAGGAAUUAUGAAUUGAAGAACCUGGAGAACGAUGAAGAACGAACCAGAUGUUGCAAAAGUAUAAUGUUGAGGAAGAUCCGACAGAUCCGGCUCCUCCUCCGCUCUCCUCUUCUCUCUCCCUAUUUUCUAGAUUACAACUAGUACUAACUAGAACUAGAACUAGAGGAACUAGAACUAGAACUAGAUGAACUAGAACUAGAUCUAGAUGAACUAGAGGUAGAACUAGAAGAACUAGAGGGAUCCUCUCUACUUGGAUGAAGAAUUGAAACCCUAACUUUGAUUCUGUAGAAGAGGUAUGAUCUCCAGGGGCCAGGGGGGUCUGGUUUUAUAGUCUCUUCAAGUGAAUCUGGGCCGUCGGAUCAAACCGACAUUGAUUGAACGGUUAUUGUUGAUCCUUUAGGUCGGUGGAGCAAUAUCCCGAAAGAGAGUCCUGAUUGGACUCUGGCUGAGGGCGGGCGCCCAAGAAAGGACGGCAGGCGCCCUGUCCCUGUGUCCUCUCGGCCUCCGCUUCGGUCCCGUGGCUUUUGGAGUCUUCUAGAUGAUAGAAAAUUGCGCGGCACAUUAAUAUCUCUAUGUAAACCCGACGUGUGGGCCUUUCUUCCAUAUUUCCUGAUAACCCCCUGCAGAAAUACACAAACACCAAAACUCGUGGAAUUCUAUCAGAUAAAACCCUAAGUCUAGGUGUUGGUUGCAUAUAAGUCCUUUUCUAUGAUUAAUUGAUGGUUAAAUAUGAGCAUUGAGGACCGUCAACACCCUCAUAAAGAGUUUGGAAGAAUCGGCUGACCUGGUCUUCAUUGCCACCAGUACCAGGUAAGACUAUGGCAGCCUCACCAUAGUUUAAGGGUGGGCGAGUUGCCGAUUCUUCAUUAGCCAAUUCGUGAUCUUUGGCAAUAUCUCUGGGAAAGCGUUGUGCAAAGAGGUCGAAUCCAAGGCGUUUGUGCAUGUGAACACUGAGCCACAUGUUAAUGAACCACCAAGGACCUCCUAAGUUGCCGAUAGGUUGGCCUAAUAGAAGUUUCUCAGCAACUUGAUGGAGAAGGUGAUAAGCAGAACCAAGCAAGUAUCGGCCGAGAGCAAAUCGGCCGCCAUCGGCCAGUCUUUCUGCUGCCGAUAAAUAGACAGAGGUUGGUCCUACCGAUCGGCCACAGAAAACGAACCUGUCUAACCACAUGUUCAGGAAAACAGCAUGCUCCCUCUGACCGACUGGCCCUGUUUUUCGGUACUUCUGAAUGUAUCCUGACCAACCGCCGAUGUUGCGGGUUUCUACUUUGCGCUCAGGUUUGCGAUCAUAUAGAUGGUUAUCAUCGGCAGUUGAUAUGUCUAAACCAGUGAGCAUGAGCACAUCGGCAAGAGUAGGGGAAGCAGGGCCAUGACUAAACACAAAGGCAUUGAGGGUAUCUGACUAGAAGUAUGAAGCAACUAUCAAUAGCGAUUCAUUUCUUCCCAUAUCGGCAAUGGAUAGCCUAAUGCACUGAUCUUGUUUGCGCUCACCCCAUUGGAAUUCAUUUGAGUUGCCAAUUCUCAGAAACCAAUCUUUCCACCCAUUGGUAGAACUAGGCCAGGAUCGAAAGGUAUCUUUCCACAGAUCUAGUGAGAAGUUCUCAGCUCUAAAGGGGAUCCUAUUUGUUUCUGCAUUUAUCCAGCCGGUAGGAUCUGGGUUUCCCAAUGGACCAAGGCAUUGGAAGUGGGGUUGAUCGGUAGGAAUAACAAUUUUCUCGGUCAAUUCCUAAAGAAAUAAAAUACCAAGUAAAUAACUGCGCGAGAGAUCAAAAAUACAGUGAAAAGAAGAAAGGUGAUCCUAAAUUGACCUCAGGAACGACGAAGUUGAUUGCCAUUUCUUUCCGAGAGGAAGAAGGGAUCAAAGACUCAGAAGAUCGUUGGAGGAGAUCCUUGCCGGAGUUCUUGAGUUUCUUGAACAGUGCCGCCGCGAGGAAGGUGGGUUUGAGGAUGUGGAAUGACGAGAUGGAGGAAGAGUACCGGAGAAGGCAGUAUUUAUAGGGUAAAGUGAGCAGGGGCAUUUUUGACUUAUCUCUUUGCCACAUCCGUGAAAUCCGAGGAUGAUCAAUUGGAUAUGGUAACUGUUCGCACGGCAAUGAAGGGAUUAUGCAGGUGAUUUUACAGCAAGCGGUCAUGAUUUUGAAGAUAUUUUACUGUGUGAGAUCUCCUGGUUGGCUGAUCGGUAGUUUCUCUCUAAUGGAUAUAUUGCCGAUGAACGUAUAUUUAGGAGAUUCGGUUCGAAAAGUUGAGAGAUUCAGGUAUAUGCUAGAGAACCGGACUGAGGUUGUUUGAAUUUGGCAAUUAAUGACCAUCAGGGGGAAAUAAUUGCAAAAAGGGCGUAUUUAUUGGAGACAAUUUCGGAGCAUCCGUUUUUGGACAUGUAUCUUUGGACGCGUAUCUGGAGUUAAUGAGGCGUGGAUCGGCAGGUAGAAAAGUGGUGACUAGUUGAGGGGGGUUGGUGCCAAUGAGAAAACGUCAGAAUGUGGCCAAGUCCAGGAGUGGUGAUGGAUCUAUGCCGAUGACUGGUGCUGAUGGUUGCCGAUGGCUAUGAGAGGUGGUUCACCGGUGGUCACAAGGGAAGGCACAGGAAUUAUCGGUCAGGUCAUGGUGGUGUACGGAUCGGUUGUGGAAGAUAACUUAAUGUUUUUCAUAGUUAGUAGAGUUUGUUUUGUAUACGGAUUCCGUUCAAUUUGGAAUUCGAGUCCUAGUCAUGUUUGAUUGUAACCCUUUUGGGCCAGGUAUAAAUAUGAGACUCCGUAGCGAUGUAUGAACAUACACAAUCAAUUCCAGCAUCUACUUUUUCGACGACUUCGUUAACCUGCAUAUUUUUCCUUUUACUACGAGUUCUUUGGAAUUCUUCGAGUCAACUGUUGACGGUCCUUAAGUAUCAAAUUUAAUUAUCAAAUAAAUAAAGAAAAGGAUCCAAAUGAAAUCAAAAUCUAGACUUAGGGUUUUAUCUGACAGAAUUCCACGAGUUUCGGUGUUUGUCUAUUUCUGCAGGGGGUUAUCAGGAAAUACGGAAGAAAGGCCCACACGUCGGGAUUACAUAGAGAUAUUAACAAGCCGUGCAAUUAUCUUACAUCUAGAAGACUCCAGAAGCCACGAGACCGAAGCGGAGGCGAAACGGGGCCAGAGGCAGGGCGCCCGCCCUCCUGCCCUGGGCGCCCACCCCCUCUGAGAGUCCAAUCAGGACUCUGGUUUGUGGGAGAUCUCCACCGACCUAAAGGAUCAAGGAUAACCGUUCAAUCUAAGUCGGUUUGAUCCAACGGCCCAUAUUCACUUGAAGGGACUAUAAAACCAGACCCCCUGGCCCCUGGAGGAGAUAGCCUCUCAACCCUAAUUCGUUAUUCUUCAAGGGAGAAGAAGCCCCUGAUCAAGAUUAGGGCCACCACAUCAAUUAGACAUCUAGAUUAGCAUAGCUACAUAGGAUUAGAACUAGAAGGAGUCAAUCUUCGAUUGGUUUCCGGAUCUGUCAAGAGGAUUCUUGGUAAUUCUCUAAUUGUGCUUCUAAUUGCUUUCUAAUUAUCUUUGUUCUUCAAUAUUAUGAAUAUGACUUUGUUCUACUUCAAUAUAUUGCAUAUGACUUUGCUCUACUUGUUUAUAUUCAAGAUUAUAUUGUUCUUAGUUUAUCAUAGUUAUGUACUUGGCUUAGUUAGAUUGGAUCUAUAUACAUGCUUAGGAUCGUAUAGCGUUUAUCCAUCGGAUCCAUGGGUAAAUGAUAGAUAUUGUGUAGGCGUGGUGCUUAUACCGUAUUUAUCUGCGAUUGUACCCAAUAUGCCAGAUCGUGGGGUAGUUCGUGAUAGUGACAGCUUCAUUGAUUCUUAUAUAGUCCCCCUCUCGUGUAUUGGGCUGGCAGAGCAACAUUAUUAUAGGGUAGUGAUUGCUAUGUUUCUCAUUUACCUUGCUAAUAUCACUAUGCAUGGGUGUAGUCUUGUCUCACAAUGAUUGCUAAGUAUGCUUGCACUAACUAUGAUAAUGCUAGACUAUAUAGUUGAGAAUAACUUAGGAAAUAUUCUUGUAGUUCGUUCUAAUUCCAUGCUAAUGACUUUCUAGAGUAUCUAAUUGAGGUGCUUAUCAUAUUUAUAUGUGGCUAGUUAUGAUCAGAUUAAUUAUCCUUGUCACUAUUCAUUAUUUCAUAUAUCUUUUAUGUGACACUUACCCCUGUAUGAAAGAGUUAGAUAUAUGUUCUCAAUUAUACAUGCAAUGAUAGAUACUCAAUCUCAUAUUCUAUUCUAUAAUCAAUAUUGAUGAUUGUUAAUCCCUUCCCAGUGGUAAAAAUAUAAAUAACGAUACUUGGAAUACUUCCCGGUUAAAAUACUACAUCGGUAUUAAUCUGUGCGCUUGCAGAUCCCAUUCAUUAUUUAUUUAGAAGAGCAAUUGCAUAUUUCAAUACCGCGUCUCUCAUGUCAUGCUGGGGAUGACAACUUGGCUUAAGUGGUAUGAGGGAUAGGUUUGGCAUUUUUGGAACCGUUACAAGAAUUAGGAAUUGUCUACUUUUGGUAGUGAUGUUAAGAAUACCCAACAUCAACCUCGGCGAAUUCUCGAGUUCCGUGUGAAUACUUCUUGGACGUGACAUCCUGGCGCAUCGUUGUUGUUGGGACCAAAGUAUUCGAGUUACCACCUUUGUCGAUUGUAAGGACAAAUCGGCUGGCACGGCAUAACGUUGGAUCAGGUAUUAGCCCUUUGUGUUUGCAGAUCUACUUUUGCAUCAACAGUAGUCGGUUUGGCUCUGGGCCUGGAUCUCUCCCGUGGUUACGAUCAGGCCCAGCUCUGCGUUGUUCGGACCUUUCUCUAUUUUCUUGGUUUGCGCAUUUCUGAAUAAAUCUUUUGGUACUUUGCGCUUUCUUCAUGGUAUGGCACAUUUUCACUUGUUGCACUAUAAUUCCUGCAAAAUAUAAUCACUAUGGUACAAGUGGAACUUGUUAGUAAUAAAAUGCAUGUGUGUAUAUAAUAUGAUUGCUUCUUCUCCUUUUGGAUCAAGUUGGCAGUUUAUAAUUGGUCUAUAAUGACUGCCAACACCUAUCUCUCUGCUCUCGCACUACAAACACAUCCUGGCUCAGCGCACUGCUCCUCUGAACUGCCUAUUCUCUCCUAGUAGUCAAGCAGGCAAGCUCCGCCUGCAACCUCUCGACCUCACUACCGAAGUCACGCUACGUAGCACUUCUCAUCAUAGACUGUCAGCAACGACCCAGUCAAGCACCCCAAACAGUGCUGUAGACCCCCAUAGGUCAUCAUCAUGGUGAACAUGACACUUACAGCUACACUGUCAUUGUGUUGAUCCUCAUCCACACUCCACUCUAAGGCAUUCCCCUUGGACUGAUCCCACACCAAGGUGUAGGGGUCACCCCCUGGGAAACACCCCAACAAAGGCGUGAGCUAACUCCUACGGAAAUCUCUCCAUCAGAUCCCUUGGAACUGCAAACGUAGCCUUGCUGGCUCCCUCAAAAGGAGUACUGCCUCUGGAGUCAAACACCCAGCCGCCCCAAGUGGGGUCACUACCACUACUAGGAAUCACUGCCUCGACACCAACUAGGGUUCCAUCACCUAACUGCUCUAUGCUCUAGUAGUAGCGAGGCUCCCUUCCAUCAGGAUACCCCAUCACACUGAGUUCCCUCCAAAGCAAAGUGGGCAUGCCAAACUCCACCAAGAAUUUGCUGUUGUGACAUGAAUCCCUAAGAACCAGCUGAUGGCGAGGAACCCACCCUUUGGUGGACUUGCAAGCGGUACGCCUGGUGUGAGCCAUCUGCUGAAAUAGGAUACCUUCGAGGAGAACUGAGGAUUAUCUUUAUCAUUUUUAUCAAAAUGGGAUAGAGUAACAUAAGGGGAGAGACCAAGCAGUGAUACGAAAUGAACAUGAUGUAUGCAUGAAUCUUAUGAUCUCAUAAACUUAGGAACAAAAGUUAGAACUAGCGGUGUGUUGAAGGUCCUUAAGUACCAAAUAUAAUCAUCAAAUAAAUAAAGAAAAGGAUCCAAAUGCAACCAACACCCAAACUUAGGGAUUUAUCUGACAGAAUUCCAUGAGUUUUGGUGUUUGUCUAUUUCUGCAGGGGGUUAUCAGGAAAUACGGAAGAAAGGCCCACACAUCGGGUUUACAUAGAGAUAUUAACAUCAAUUUUCUAUCAUCUAGAAGACUCUAGAAGCCACGGGAACGAACGGGAAGGUGAUCGGGCCCAGGGGCAGGGCACCCUCCCUCGCCUCUAGGGCGCCCGCCCAGCUAUAGAGUCCAAACAGGACCCGUCUCGCGGAUUACGUUCCACCAACCUAAAGGAUAAAGGAUAAUCGUUCAAUUAAUGUCGGUUUGAUCCGAUGGCCCAGAUUCACUUGAGGGGACUAUAUAAGCAGACCCCCUGGCCCCUGAAGGAGAACAAGUUCAUUGUAGAGUUGAGAGGUGCCCUCGAAGGAUAACCUUUCCUCUACAUAGACAGAGCAGAAGCUAGGGUUUGGAGAUGAGAGCUCUCCUCUCAUCUCUAAACUAGAGUAGAUCUAGAUAGUAGCAAGAUGGAGAGCGAGGGAGGAUUGGAGGAGAGGCCGGCCUGUCGGUUCUUCCUCCGGUUGUACUUCGCCAUGAUCAAGCUCUAAUCAAGCUUGCUCAUGGGAUGACUCUGGUAAUCUACAUCUAUUUCAUUAUGCAAUUACUAUUCAUGUAUGUUCUGGUUCACAACUCUUUUGAGUACUUUAAUCUAUAGGACGCUAUAGGUGAGAGUUGCAGUAUAGGUGUAAUCGUGGUGCUUAGACCUAGAUUACUUGUGGAUAUCCCCUGUCUAGCUAGAUCGUGUGGUAGGCCGCGUAGGUGACAGUUACGUUGGUCCCCUAUAGUCCACCUCUUGUUAGCAGGACGGGUAGGGUUUAUCGGCCUAUGGAUAAGCAUCCUUUGUGGUGUAUUCUUAUCACGUGGUUCGUCCCAGACAUAGACAUACCCCUUUGAAGUAGAGAAAUCAUAGUUAUCCUCUCUAUUCUCCUACCAUCGCCCAUAUAUUAGAUUGCUCUACUCUAUAUUCCCCCAUUAUCAUUUUACCUUUGAUAUUGUUCUUAUUUCAAUUCUACCAUCUUUCCUAUUUACACUUAUCCAUCUAUCUAGGUUAAGUUAGAGCAUAGAUCAGUUCUCCCGUUUCCCUGUGGAUACGAUAAAACCUUUAACCGGGUAAAAGCUACAACGGUAUCCCUACGCUUGCGGAUUUAUCUGUGUGCGUAUAAAUAUCAUAGUACACUCUAGUGCCAUUCUGGGGAUGACAACCUAGUAUUCAAGUGGUGUUAGCAAGUGUCAACAAGAAUUUUUGGCGCCACUGACGGGGAGACGGUUGCUGAGUUGACUACGAACUAGCUUAAUCAUUUUCUAAAAAAUAAUAAAAAAUAUACUUUUCCUUUUAUCCUUUGUCUUAUCUCUGCUAUUCUUUCUUCUUAUCUAGUCCUUGAUUUCUGGUCUAUCAUGAAUACAAACAUGUCUGUCUAUCAAUUUCAUAGACCUACGGGCACACAUCUCGAACCACCAAAAUCUUCAAAUCCUAUCAUAGCAUCUAGUUUUGAGAUAGACCCCAAAUACAUAGAAUUUGUUCAAAAACAACCUUUCUCAGGAGAAGGUAAGGAAAACUCAUACACACACCUAAGAGAGUUUUAUCGAGUCUGUGACCUCCUUCGCAUUGAAGGCAUGUCCGAUGAGACCCUUAAAUGGAAGGUCUUUCCAUUCUCUUUAACAGGAAAAGCUAGACAUUGGUACAAACUAAAAGUAGGGAGUGUUCAUAGAGAUUGGAAGGAGUUAUAUAAUAGUUUUCUUUUUAAAUAUUUUCCAAUCUCCAAGUGGUGGAACUUUGGCCUAAGAUUCUUUCUUUUAGACAACUGGAAGAAGAAUCUCUCGGCAAAUCAUGGGACCGCUAUAUUAACCUUACUCUCACUGGCCCAAAGCUUUCUAUUCCACAAGAAGUUCUUCUAAUUCACUUUUUUGAGGGCCUUAGUAGGGAAAAUAAGCAAACCUUGAAUACAGCCUCUAGAGGAUCCUUCUAUCACCUACCUGCUAGUGAAGCUAGGGAUUUAAUUGAUUCAUUGAGUGGAAAGUUUCCUAGCAUUUAUAUCCCUGAGAAAGAGAAAGAACCAGUUCCUAGACAAGAAGAGGAAGUUUCGAUAGCCAAAUUACAACCACUUCAAUCCCAAACUUUAGCUAUCGAUCCUAAACCAUCAAUACCUCAAAAUUCUCCAAGGGAGGAAGGAAUUUCGACCUUAAAUCUUUCAGAUACUGAUGGUUUAGACUCCUGGUUCCAUAAGAGACUUUCAAGUAGGGAUAAUUAAAAUUCUUGCAAUAAUGGUUCUCUUAAAGAAUGUCCUGGUUUCUAUUAUGAAGAAGUCGUGGAUGACAUAUCAAGUGAAGGAGAGGUAAACCAUAUAGAAAAUUCUAUCUGCUCCCCUUCCAUGUUCACAAAUUCUAAAUCCAUCCUUGACCUUAGAGACCCCUCUUAUCCCUCUCCUUUUCAGUCUCAUGAUGAUCCUAGCAAUCCAUCAAGACGACCAAACCAUAGGAGUCAUGAAGACCAUAAGGAUUGCAUGACAAGUAAUGCCAUAGAAGGAGAGCUAAGCCAUAUAGAAGAUUCUAACACCUCCCCUUUCCUCAUCGCAAGUUCUAAAUGGCUAGAAUAUGUAGAAUGGAUGGACAAGGAAGAAGCCUUAAUGGAUUCUGACUUUGGCUCAAUUUCAAAUGGUGAGUUCUUGACUCCAUUUGAAGAUGAGAUUCAUCCAACUGCAGAAGAGGACAUAGGUGAGACCAAUCCAGGAGAAACUAUGAACAUUCAUAUUGGAGACGAAGAUAACAUUAAUGAGCAUGGAAUUUAUUUCAUAGCCACUUCGUUUACUCCAAGCUCACAUGAAACAUCUUCCGAAUCUAUUGGUGUCUCCAACAUCAUCACAUUUGAGAUCUCCAACCCCCUCUUCCUUUCUAUUUAUAAAAACUUUAAAAGGGCGGUUGUCGAUGCAUAUGUCUAUAAUAAAUAUUGCAAAUCUCAUUGAGUUGAUCUUGAUAUAGGUCAGCGUUGGAAGGGAAACCACUUUGCCGACAUAAAUUGAUAGUUUCCCAAAGACAAGCUUAGUGUCCUAAAAUAAGCACUGAUCGGAUCGUAACAUGAGCUUUUAAUUAUUUGCAACAUUACCUUGUGUAUUGAGCUUACAAGGAUAAUUGUAAAAAUAUUCCUUCGGGUAUUCUUGUCACUAACUUUUCCAGGAUUGGAGCAAGAAGAUCGGAUGAAUGACAAGCACAAGGUAUGUCCAACCAAUCAUCAUAAAACAUUGAAUUAAAUUCAUCCAAACUUGAAUUUUGCAAAAUUCAAGCUUGGGGGGAGUACUUUACAUAAAAACAUCCUUUGCCAUGUUGCUAUGUUGGUUGUCCCUACCUUUGAGACAUGCUCAAUUUGUUAAAUACUAAUCACACUACUUCAUCUCAACUUGAGUAGAUCUCUAUAUAUGCUCUCAUGCUACCUUUAUUUGCUUCAAUAUAUGUCUAGGUUUGGAGUAGUUUCAUUUAUCUCUAAAAUAAGCAUGGUGCUUAGUUUAGGAAUGAUGAUCUUACUUCCAAGGGAUUUUAAAUUAAGCAUGGUGCUUAGGUUAAAAUGCCCUCCUAAAUCAAUUUAGACAUGGUGUCUAGGUUGAUUUUUGAACCGAUAGUAUGCUAUAGUAGAUAUUGGAUAUUUUGUUGAACUAACCCCUGUAGGAAAACUUUCAAUAUCGACCUGGGAAGUCCUGAGAUAAACUCACAUUGGAGACAAAGAGAGAGACACAUCAAGUUUAACAAUUUACACAAGGAAGACGUAGCUCAUAAGAGAUGAUCCAUGGAGGGUGCCACAAACACGAUGCACAACCGCUAAGAAAGGAAAGCUUCCACAAGGUGAUACUGUACCAUCACUCUUCAAGUAAGGACCUGGAUCUGCGAGCACAAACACACUGAGCAAGAAACUGUCAACGCCGCACUUCGAACUGCUGGGCAAACGAAGAACAUGGGUGACACCGUAUCAAGAGGUGUAGAUGUCAAGGUCCACACCUGAAUCAAAUGACGUACCUAAAGAAUGAACAUGAUGAGAAGUCUUGUUCAGAAGACUUAAAACAUUGAACCCUCGCCGAAAGGUAAAAUCUGUAGUUAUCCAUAUUUAUCUUUUCUGCAUUCCUUUUCCUUUUUAUUCCAUCACUUGCAUUAGCAUAUCUACUUUUCCACAUUAGCAUUAGAAAAGAAAACAAAAAUAUUUGUUCGUUGCACUACAUCAUAAAAUCUAAAGCCCCAUGUGAGUAGACUUGUGGUUUAAAACCCAUAGGUAUAUUGACUGUGGUGGCAUAAAAUAAAUAUGUUUUCAUCUUACAAUAAAAAUAUAAAAAUAAUAAGUGCAUGAUCCUGCUAAAUAAAUAAAAUUUAUUAGGAGGAAUCUCAAUAUGAUAAAGGCUAAGAGAUUUUAUGCUAACACUUAACUAGUUCCACAAAGCUUUGUUGUCUAUUUGAGCUCCACUGAAUUCAAGGGUCAAAGAAGACUAGGAGACGGAGGACAUCCUAAUCGCUGUAAGGGUGCUGCCGACAUUCAAAUACACCUCCGCCACCUGCUAGCUACAUCAAAAGAAAUUACGUCAAAAUCCA